AAAAAAAAAAAAAAAAAUCAACACAUGUUCUGAAAAGCUACUAAAUCUGUUAGGACAAGGCAUUAAUGGUUAACUAAAAAUUAAUGGUUGCCGCCCUUCUAUAUCUUAUUACCUUUCCAAUCUCAUAAUACUAUGCGUCUGUGUGACUGCUCUCUAUUUUCACCGCUUGAUCCACUGCAUUUACUAGUUAAAAGUUUCGAUUAGAUAUAAGGUAUAAUUUCAUAUACCUCCCUAAGAAUGAUAUUUUUUGUAACAUUUUUAGCUCCCUUUGGAAGAAAUGCAAGAACGAAAUUUUUUUUAUUCUAAUACUACCCUUAUGUGAUCCUACUUUAUGAUGCUUACAACAACAAUAAAAAAUAAAAUAAGAUUAAAAAGUGAAAACAUGAGCAGUUAUAAAUGCAAUAAUGAGUAAAUUUUUUAGAUAUACAACAAUUAUUGUCCAGUAUAACAAAUGAGGUGUUUUGGAAAGCAUACUACAUUCCUAGAUAUAUAUUUAGUCAUUGGAUCAUUUUUUGAUUAAUUUUGACUAAUUUAUAAAUUUUUUAUAAGUAUGAUUUAUAUUAUAAACCAUACAUGUGAAGAGAUUAUUUUAAUUUUAGGGUCCGCUUGUUUAGGGUGAAAAUGUUUUCCAGGAAAAUAUUUUCCUAAUUUCCCGUGUUUGGUUGCACAAAAGUUAUUGAAAACAUUUUCCUAUGUAAAAUAUUUUCACUCAUCUUAUGGAAAACAACUUCCCUUCCAAACUUAUUGAAGUUGUUUUCCAAAAUGCAUGCAUCCCGCCUGUAGUAUGUUCCAAAUUUACUGAAAACAUCUUAUAGUAUGUUCUUUUUUUUUUUUAGUGUAAACAGGAGGACUCGAACCCAAGACAUCUUCCUUACACUCCCUCCCCCAUACCACCCAACCCAACCCAAUCCUCCUCCUAGUAUAUUCAAAAUAAAAAAAAAUCUCAUCCUGCUCAUCCUAUGCUAAUAAUUAAUUAUGUAUAAUAGGGACAUUCUUUUCUAGAGAAACUUUCAGCAGUGAGAAUGCAAGAUAUAUGUCACAAUAAGCAUUGCAUGUGAUUAAUAUUUGACACUAAAUGGCCAGCAAUUUGUUUAUUGCUUAAGGAGAUAUUUUUUAUUCAUAUAUACAUUUCUCCAAGAUUUUUUAAAGUUAAACAAUGAGAUAAAUUUUCUUAUUUUGCAUGGGAAGAAGUAUGUAGUUAUAAUGUAUAGAAAGUAAAGAUAGAGAUAAAAGUGAAAAUAUUUCAAAAGUUAAACAAACACCAGAAAAAUGAAGUAAGAAAAUAUUUUCAAUAAGCUAACCAGACACCUGAAAAUGAUGAAAGGGAAAUGAUUUUCAUGGAAAAUUACUUCCACGGAAAAUAUUUUCUCAAAGAAAACAUUUUACUUCCAACCAAACAGACCCUUAGUACAACUUAAAUUACUUAUGUAUUACAACAUAUUUUCUAAAAGAAUUUUCAACUUCCUUGUAAUUCUCCCACAAAAAAAAUUUCAAGGUCUUAAAUACCUAUCAAAAUUUAUUUCUGGUAAUAUGACUUGGGUACGCACAACCAAUUGCAAAUUAAGUCUGCAUAAUUUUAUAUAUAUAUAUAUAUAUAUAUAUAAUUAAAAGGUAAAGCAUUUUAUUCUCCAACCAAACCAAAAAAAAAAAGUAAAGCAUUUUGAAGAAGAUUUGGUUUAGAUCACGUUAUGUACCCCGGAAAGAAGGCAAAACAAGCUCUAGCUUCUAGGUUGUUUGUUUGCGGAUUUUAGCCUUGCCAAAAAUCCCCAUCACAUCAUAUUCAUUAAAAUUUCCAUACUUUUGGUCUCUACUUUUAUGAGUUUUCUUGUCAGUUGCUAAAAUCUUGGACAAUAUCCAGGCGGAGCUGCAGCGCUCCAAUCAAAAGCAUAAAUAAACUACAGUUUGUGAAUUAUAGCUUCAAAGAAGAUAUAUACCCAAUUGACUUCCCACUAGCGGGAGUGCGACGCGCAGCACCAGGCAUUUUUGGGAGCAUUGCUGGUAAAUAUUCAUCCAUUCUUAAGAAAACACAGUAGCCCUAAUACCGGUAGCAUAUAAGUGUGUGCCUUUCUUUUUAUUUCCUGCUCUGGAUUAACUAACUCCCGCUUCACGUAGGAAACUCAGAGGACUAGCAUUUAAUUAAUUUUAAUACUCACUCUGUCCCAUUUUGAUAAUCCUAUAGUUUUCUUCACGCAAUUUAUGAAAGGUAGUUAAUUUUAUUGAAAAAAUAAAUUUAGAUUGCUAUUUUUCUAAAAUAUCUUUACAUUAAAUAGAGUACAACUUUAUAUUAAUUAUUUAUGAAAACUUAAACUGAUGGUUUAUGAAAAUUUGAAUUGAUGGUCAAGAAAACCUACGUAGAAUGAGGGUAUUUUAGAGAAAUCAAAAGAUAACUACAUUCUUCAAUUAGAAAGCCGACUACAAUUUGGAACAGACGAAAAAGGAAAACAGGACUAUCAAAAUAGAACGAAGGGAAUAUUUUUAAUUUUAGUGAUGGCCCCAGAGGUGAUAAACCUGAUUAGUACGGGAUACUUGCAUCACGGUUGCUUGCUGGUAGUGUGAUAUGAGUCUGAUGUGAUGCAGGGCACUUAUAUGUGAUUUCGAGUCUAAAAGACUAAUUUGGAUUUUGGAUCACUCAUUAGCAGUUUUAUUGUUAGUCAGUAAAAGCCUAAUUUCCAGGGAUUGAUCAAGCAGUGGUUGGAGAGGGAGAGAUUUGAGAUAGCUGUGCUUUUUGACCCGACCUCCUCUUUUUCAUCCCGGCUGGACCAUGUCAAGGAAAAGACUGAUUAUCCAUCGAUCGAGCAUGGUUGUUCGUUGUUGUUGUGCCUUGACUUGCGACAUUCCUUUUACAGGGUCCAAAUAUUCCUCUAGAACCGGGGGGAAAAAGAAAAAACUGUCACCGGACGCAAUCGAUUAUGGUAAAGAAAAAUAAUUUGGGAAACAUUCGAUCAUAUGCCAAAUUACACCUUCUAGGCUUUAUGUGGCGACAUAGAAGUUAACAACACACUUGAAACCCAAAAAAAAAAAAAAACAGUACAAGAGUUCUUACAUAUCUAGUAAAUGCCUGUUCAAUGUCAUCUGUGUUUCUGGAUGCAUUUGUACGGCGAUACAAUAAAAUACUACUACUAGUAGUAUGUAACAAGUGAAAUUGGUUGCGGCUUCAAAAGAGAAACUGAAAGACCCCAUGCCAAAAUCCAUGAGAUUAGGACAGCUGUUACGUGGAUUGUUAAUGUCAAUGGGAGGUCGCAAGUUCGACUUCUAUAUGUGGCGCCUUAUAAAGGUUUAGGUUACAUCUCUACUAAAAAAUAAGAGUCGGAUCCUACGGGCGCUUCUCGACGGAUUCCACGAGCGUAUACUCAUUCGUGAGUAAGAAUCGGAUCUUACAAAUCAAAUCCGGAUUAGAUUUACUGAGGGUGGAAAUAUCAGAUACUUAAAGCAAAAAAAGAAAAAGAAAAAAAGACCAUGCCGAUACCAAUUGAGAAAAUUGGUCAUAGGUGAAGCUGAGCAGGGGAAUUUAGUCCGUUGACCGUUGGUUUAUUGCGCCAAAAUCCUGUUGCUCUCUUGCAAUUCUCGUUGCGAUCGAUGAUUAAAGACAUGCAUGAUAAUUGCAAACUCCAAUCCAAACUGAUCUGGUCAGGACGGUUACCAGAAGGUGUACCUCGCCUCCAGGCUUUUCCUUCCACCAAAAAAACAAAAGAAACAGUGAAUGGUGAAAGGAACAGGGAGUUUUCUUUCUUUUCCCUCUGCUCAGAGUAAUGCUAGUUUCUGGAGUAUAUAGGUUAGGUCAUGAGGUGCAAUUAUCCAAUCUGACCCCGUUUUGACUUAAUGACACUACCCGGAGGAUGUGAACUCUAAAACACUCUAGGGAUUUUAAUACUUCAUAGCCAUCUGUUUUGACAGUUAAACUACCUGAUUAACCAAAUCCUAAUCAACCAACCGAUAAAGACAACUUGAAGCAGUAGGAAACUCCCACAAGAUUCUAGGACCCCACCAACCCCAAUUCAUUCGAUCAUGUAAUGUACCUCCCCUACCGCCAUCUAAUUUCUUAAUCAGGAAUCUGACAGUUAAUACCGUUAAAAUCUCGAAACUGCAACUUAAUUGUCCUGAUUUCGCGAGAGGACGCAUAGGGUAUAUGCCUGCGCAUCAAGGCAAAUUGGAACGCUCCUAUUCUUUCUCCUGGCCAAAUUUAACCUAUCUUUUUUUUUUUUUUUUUUUAAAGGUGGUUGGUUACGCGUUUUUGUGGGGAGCCCAGGCCAUGACGGACCCGUAAUACAACCAAAGCAACUAUUUAGCUCUUGGUUGGUAAUCCUCAUUACGUCGUCCUUUUCCAACCAACUCUUGGAUAAAAUGUUUUUCCAAUAAGUAUUAUAUAUAUAUAUAUAUAUAAAAGAGAAAGAAAAAAAAAGAGAGGGAUGAUGUGAUGGAUUAGGGGAAAUCUGUUGGUUUAAUAUGAGCUCAUAUGGAAUCUUUUAUCGUUUGGAAAAAAAAAUAUGAGCUCAUAUGGGCAUGGUUGGAAAAGUAGUUCUGCUGUCUCGUGAGGUGUGAGUGGUCUAAUAAGAUGACAGACACUAGUGGGACUGACAGAGACAUUCCAAUGGUUACUAUCCUGCAGACGGAAUGAAUGGUGAUGCUUUUGUUGAAGAGUCGGCAUUCAGAAGAAACCGGACACGAGACACUGUUGGGAUUCGAGUAUGGAGAAAAUUUUGAUGAAAGUAAAAGUUUAUGGUAACACACAAGCGAUACAGCCAACUAUUUUGCCUUGAUUAACGGCCAGAAAAAGGUUCUCUUUCGUUCUGAUUUCCAGAAUUAGAAUUCAAAGUAGUGCCUAAUUAGCCAUUUGGCGCUACUCUUUCUGUCUUCUUGGUUGCAUUGCAUUGCAUUGCAUGUCUGCUAAAUAUGGCGCUACCUUUUGGUCCAAAAUGACGGCAGAGGAAUUUGCAUUUGCAUUUGCAUUUGCAUUUGCAUGCAUGCGGAUCAAGCAUUGCGAAUGUGGAUGGCGUUCCACUUCCCUCCCUUUUGCUUUUAAAUUUCUCAAUAAUUAGGGAUCGAAAGAAAGGCAAAGGCUGCAUGGCCAUGAUAUAUAGUACUAAUAUACAUACAUAUAUAUAAUAAUAAAAAGAAAUCCCACUGUCGGGCUUCAUUAAACUACCAGUAAAGUGACACGAGCGCCUUUUAAAAUACCAACAAGCUGCUUGCUGGGGUUAUCGGAAUCCACGACAUGUUAGUAUUUAUUUCGACCUGUUCUUGCUGUUCCAUUAAUUAAUAGUUCAAUCACCCCCACCGCAUCAUUCUUAGUGGGAGUAUGUUUUCAGUUGAUCGUGGAGGAGACCGGGAAUUCCCCGCCCGCCCUCGGAUUCCCUCCUUCUUCAACCGGAAGCAUCUUCACUCGUUAGGUUACCAUAUGAUCAAUUCGCAAGUUAAUUGCAAGGCAAAGCUACGCUAUCAUCAUUUCUCACUACUUGCAUCUAUUCUUGGCACGAAGAAACGAUGAAGUAAAAUCAUUGCCGUCAACAAAAAUUACUAAUACUUUUAGCUUUUUUGUAAGCCACAUUCGAAAAUGACAUAAAUUGCAAUGCUCUGACUUCUUAAAUUACAAAUUCAAAACGGUUCAUUUUCACUCUUGACUUUGGACAUGGAAUAUUGCGUUUUUUGGUCCCUCACAAUUAUAAAAAAAAAAAAAAGAAAAGUCUCCUUUUAGUCCCUCACAUACGCAAUGGAAAUGGAGCUACCAACGUGGUCCCGAAGUAUAUUAUUUUGGUCCAAUAUCCUAUUUUUCAACCAUUUUUCAACUAGGCAUCUGCUGAUACCAGCAGCACCAGACGCUGACCAAUCCGAAUUUGGGGACGAUUGAUUGUUUUCCUUUCAUUUACAAGAGUCGAAUCCAAAAUCCUUCAAGCGACGGUCCUUCGAAUCUCUCUAACCACGGGGCAAAACUCCCACGGAAAAGAAAAGGGAAAAGGAAAAAGGAAAAAGAAAUGGGAAACACACUUAAGUCUCGGUCAGCAAAAAGUCAAAGUGGGCCGCGUGGGCUGACGAAGUGACAACGUUUCACCACCGAAAGAGCACGUACCAUGUAACAUGACAAGGAGCCCAAGGUCCCAUGCGUAACCAACUGUGACAUCACAGAAGAAGCAAAAUUAAAUGGAUUAAGCAACGCAGAAGAAGAGGAGUGGGGAGAGGCUUCAGGAUGAAAAGAAAAGAAACAUGGCGGUUUCUGACUAGGUUUUGGGGGCCCACGAUUGUUUCACUCUUUUUCUGAUCUUGUCGCCCUUUUUACUAGCUAUUUUAUGUCUCGCGCUCAUCACUUUGUCUACCCCGAUCCGCUUCCACUUUCCCAAAUUCCACUCUCAAGUUUUCCUUCUUCCAUCCAUGCACCCACCAGCCCUUCUUUUUUUUUUUUUCUUAAAUUCAUUUUUGAACACAACCCCCCAAAAAAAUCUUAGCUAGCAGUGAGUAGUGAUUAAUUUCCUUCUCAGGCAAAGAUCCCAGGACCUUUAUAAUAUUAAGAUUCUCUUUCUCCUCUCUUUUAUUUAAGUAGUAUUGAGCUAAUAGCUCCAAAAAAAAAGAAGAAGAAAGUACUCAAAAGUGAAAGUAAGAGAAAGGUAGAUACAAAAAGAAAGAAUUAAUGGAAGAGAGACCAUUGGGGUUGCGUUCUUAAAUUAAGUAUUAGCCGGCCGGAAGACAAAAACGUUGCGUGAUUAAAGUGAAGCAAUUAAAGCCUACAAAUCUGUGGUGUGAAACUUUCAAGCGAUCUCUCCUCUUCUCCAAUCGUUAAAACACGCUUUCUUGACCGGAGGAAAAAGGCGAGACAAUUUUCUGCUGCCAGGUGAAACAUUUCCUUGCGUGUGAAGUUUGGAACAUUUUGAUUCAGCCAGACACACAGAAACGACAAACAGCUGCUAACAUAAAUUAAGGUGUCGGCUGUAGACCACAAUUAAGCGAAGUUUACAGCACGAAUAAAAGUUGUUGCAUCUCCAGUUUUAGGCAAAGUACGUACGCAGUCACAGUCAUACAUAUACAUAUAUACAUAUAUAUAUACAUUGAUGAUAUGGGCCAAAAGUGACAAAUAAGGUCAAAAACAAGUAGUAGCAGGGGGGUCGUCACGUCAGUAGACUUCGCCGGCCGGGAUGGGAUCUAGUAUGGCAGUAGUAGUAGUAGUAGUACAGUAGUAUUCAUUUUAAGAAUGGUCUAUAGAUAGAUAGAGAGAAGAAGAAGAGAAACCACAAUAAUAAUAAUAAUAAUGAUUCUAACAUGAAGGAGCAUCAUUGGCAGAGGCAUCCCAGUCCCAACCACUCCUAUGCAACAAGUUACAAUGUGUCCUGCUUAAUUACUACCAUAAACAAUACUUACUUACUCUGUCGCUCGCUUUUCAAGUCAAAGGCAAUGAUCAUUAAAAUUCCAAGAGAAUGAUUAAGGUCACUCACCAGUCACCAGUCCGUCCGUCCGUCUUUUAUAGUAAUCUUGAUUUUAAGCCACUUUUAUGGAGUAUUCAUAUUAAUCAAACGGAACAACAGCCAUUCUCCACAUGCCAUUUACGAAUAAUCAUUGCCCAAUGAAGCCACCACCCCUCCACAAUUAAUUAAUGUCUCAAUUCUUGGAAUAAUUAAUUAGACCUCCUCCGCUCAAAACUGCAAACCCCGCAAAUAUUACUCUCUUUUUCCACUAUCAAUAAUUUCCGGUGUCAAAACAUUCACUAAAAUUAAUUUAUUCCCUAUGCAAUUUUUUCCCAGUUGGAUGAGAAAAUAAACUGCACUUGGCAGACAAAAGUGAAACUUCUCUAGUGUGGACUCUCUGGAGUCCGGACUGGCGCAUUGGCUCGUGUUAUAUUAGGCUCCCAUCUCAGGGUAUUACAGGGCCAAGCAAUAACAUCAUCCAUUACCGGCCCAGCCCAUGUUCACCUACUUAAUUAUUUUUUUUUUGGGACUUCGCUUUAAGUGGGAACAAAAGGAGAGAAAAGAACAAAUUCGGGGAGAGAGAGAGAGAGAGAGAGGUCUCACCUAUUUCAGAAGACUGAGUUUAAAGUUGAAAAAUAGAAGAAAAGAAUUCGACAGAUUUCUUUAAUUUCGAAUAGCCUUUUUUGUUUUACGGAGUUAGAUAGAUUUGUUUGCUAAAGCUUUUUAGCUUUAACAAUUUUAGAUGUGCCCAUAAGCAAACGUAAAGAUAGAGCGAUAAAAUAUGUAUGCCUUAUGAUACGAACAUUUCCUCCCUUCCCUUUAACUUGUGAUCAUCUUUUCGUUUCUUUUCUUUCCUAAAACCCGCAUGAAACGUGAAGCAAUUUAGAGCACCCGGAACGGGCACACUGCUUUUGUCUCCGACCAGGGCCCAUGGAAAGGGAGUCGGAUAUGGAACUACCAACGUGCAGACCUGCCCAAUUAAUCCGAAUAAUUCAGGAACCCAGUUUGCCCUGGAUUCUACUCUAUUGGUUCUCGGGCCCAUAACCGGGUCUGGGUGAUGCCUUCCUUCUGGAGCUUUAGGCCCAGUUUCAAAUGUGACCAGUUUCAGCCACUGCAUUACUCAACAAACUCGAACGCCCGGCGGGUGCUCGAUUUCAUCCUUUGCAAUUUUUGUUGCCCUGUUUGCGUUGGCUUGAAAACAGACGACUCUUAAACAAAAGUUUCUUCAAAACAAGACCAACAACAUACUUAGUAAUAGAUAAAUCUUUUUUAGCCACAGAUUAGGCUCAGAGCUAAGUCAAGAUGAGUAUACAUUUAAGGUCAUCUGAUUGAUUAUGCAUACCAAUAUCAAUAGAAUGCAAAUGAUCCAACAAUUUCAUGAUUUUCUCCCCCAAAAAAGAAUAGGCAGGCGACCUAGUCAUGCUCUUGGUUCAGAUGCAUCGACAAAACUCCCAAGUGUGGGAUUUUAGCAUCUGGAUGCGAGCAUUAACCAUCUAUACUGCAACUUUGGUGCGCAAAGUGAAGCAGGUUGUUCAAAAUCUUUGCGUAUUCGUGAGCCCUUCAGAAUCACUUCAGCUACUUAGACGACUGUUACAGAAAUUACAGGCAUUUAACGUCAAAUAUCAAAAACAGUACUACUUGUCAUACUAGCCAAAUUAAGCCAUAAACAUAAGAAGCAUAACAAUACAAAAGAAUUUCUUAAUUUCUGGUGAAGCUGAUUAACCGAGCAUCUUUAAAAAGCGAGCUUUUAAUCCCAGUAUCUAAAGGCAGCAGCAAAACGGCUUAAUGUUAAAACAUUUACCUUUACUUGAGAGAAGCAAAAACAUGACCAAACAAGAAGUCACUUAAAAGUCUCGCCUAGGCCGAGCUUCAGCAGGGCUUACACGGAUUGUCCUUCCAUUCAGGUCCUGCAAUUCACAGCUCAAAAUGAGAUGAUGCAGCAAGAAACAAAUUUAAAGCAACCAGAUCAAACGCACUAGCAUGGUCAUGCCUGUUGGCAACCACAUGUUAUGUAGUAUUUCAAUCCUAUGCAAUGAACUAAAUAAGCAAAGGACAAAAACCAGCAGAGUAGGAUAUGCAAAUAAUAACAAGGACAAUAUAUCCAUAAGAGUGUUAUCAAGGCAGAUUACUUGCUUAAUGUGCUCCAUUCUUGGAAAAAGCCAAACACUGUGAGUCUUAGCAUCAGUAACAGCUUGGUACUCUUUAAUCCUCAAGUUUAACACAGAAAAUUAAGGUUCAAAAAAAAUCAAAAGAGACAAAAAAAAAAAAAGGAACGUCACAGCUCCAGUAUGAUUACAGUAAGGUGUUUGAUAGUUCAGCAUGGUGAAAAGAUAAUACUAACAUCCUCUUUCCAGAAAAAAGUACAGUAAGAGGUGACAAACGGACCAGUAGCCAGUCCAAAAUAUAGUUCUGAUUCAGGGGCCGUAGAAGUGUAAAAGAUAUAGGGUUACCUAGAAGAAUAAAUUGAUAUGCACUACAUACAGCAACAAAAGAUAUAAUGCAGUUGUUAUAGAACAAUAACUUACAACGCCAUUCAAAGAUUCAAUUGCGUUUGUGACCUCAUCAGCAGAACUGUAAGUUACAAAACCGAAACCCCUUGAUCUGCCACUGUCUCUGUCAUAAACCACCUUGGCUUCCACGACCUUUCCUUGCUCACUGAACAAGGUUUCCAGAGCCAAAUUAUCAACGCCCCAUGCAAGGUUUCCUACAUAGACUCUAUUGGUGUUAUCAAUACUUGCCCCGCCUCUGGCUCCUCUAAAAGAGCCCGCCUCCCUCCUAGAAGGUGGUGGUGGCCCGCUAUUCACCCUCAAUGCCCUCCCCUCAAGUUCCUGAAAAUUUGUCAGACUUGUGAAUAAGUGGCAUAACCGAAACAGCCAGAAACCAUAUGAAAAUCAACACAGCUUCAUGCUAUUUAAAGACUACAUGAUGGAACUUGACAUGAAAAUGUGUAAGACGGAACAAACUCCAAACAGUGCUUUAGUUCAAUUUCAACGCGGGUGACUUCAUUUUCUGGAACACGCAAAAUGUUACAAUUUGCCUCAUAAUAGCCACAACAGCUAUUAAAGGAUUAAGAGAAGCACCAAAGCCAAAAGCAAACAAAAGCAAACAAAGACAUGCAUGAAUAGUUAAAAGAGUGAGAAAUUACAUAGCCAUUGAAUUGAUGUUCAGCAGCUUCAACUUCCUCAGUUGUGGACAUGGUCACGAAACCAAACCCUCUACUCCUUCCAGUAACCUUGUCAUAGAUAACCUGCAAACCCAAGCUUGCCAGUCAGCAAGAGCAAAGCAAUUCUAAUUUUCUUGCACCAAUUCAACCAUGAACCACCCACAUAAUGACGUAAACAAAAAGGGAUAGCGUCAGAUAUACUACCAGAUGCUUAAACUGCCAUUACUUCAAAUUACCUAAGUAAGAUAUGAGUAAAUAAAACUGUAAUAAACUCUCAUAAACCCAGACAAGGUUCAAAAGUGCAACCUUUGAAAUUGCAACUAAACAUAGCAAAUAAAAUACACUAAACAGAAAAGGGCCAAUUCCUAUGACUCCCGAAAGAAAUUACACUAAAAUAAAAGGGGCCAAUUACUCUCACUCCAAGAUUCUAGUCAAACUACAAAAGAUAAGCGAGAAAUAGAACGAAUGUACCUCAACCAUCUCAACAUUUCCAGCACGUUCGAACAAGCCAGCAAGAGCAGCGCUGUCGACGCUGAAAGGCAAGUUGCCAACAAAGAGUUUAAGGUCAGGGGAGAAACUGGGCUCCUCCUCGGGACUGGAACCUCCAUCGCCGAGAACCUCGUCUUCUAAUUCUUCCUCCCCAUCUAUAACUCCGAUUUCGUCCAAGUCAGAGGAAACGGCCGCUUUGCGGGACCAAGGCAAGGAAAGCUCCCGCGGGUGCAAAGAAGAGAAAGCAUUGAGGGAUAAGCAGCGGGUGAGAGACGGAGGAGGAGGAGACAGAAAAGAUAGGGAAUUAAGAUGGGUGGCAUUGGGUUUUGAUAGAGAAAGGGUAGUUUGUGGGGUGAAUGAAAGAAAGUGAAGCGAAGAGGCAGAGGCAGCCAUGAUAUGAAUCAGUAGUGAGUGAGUGAUGAGUAGCAGAGUAUCUGCUGGUUUUGAAGGGUUUGAGGGAUACGCAGAGUAGAUAAGGUUUUCCUUCUGCUCGACUUCCGCCACCUCUCUGAUUUUGUUUUAAAAAAAAAAAAACAAUGGAGAGACAGAUAUUUGGGGAUAGAUAUACAUAUAUAUAUAUAUAUAUAUAUAUAUAUGAGACAGAUAUUUGGGGAUAUAUAUAUAUAUAUACACGAGGGCAUUUCUGUCUUCAAAGGACGCUGUCCCUUUAGACCUAAUCUCGUAUGCACCACUAGUUCUCUUUUAAUUCUCCUUGGGCCGUUUUCAGUUCUCAUGAAUCUUUGUUGCUGUUAUUAUGUCUUGGGCCAACUUAAAGGGCUACCCUCAUACUUUCGCGAAACAAAGAAAAAGAAAAAAAAAGAUUGAUUUUUGGAUAAAUAUAUCCAUUACGUUUAACCAUUUGCUCAGAACUACGUGAUAUAUAUAGAUGAUCCAACCGACAUAAGCUCCAUCAACGUAUGAGGCAGAGUCCAGACAAAACAAUGAUUACACACAAAUGGAACAUUUCAUGUCAGAAAUUAAGCAAAACACGAUCAAAGUACCUUUUGUAAUUGAGUAUUGCCUUCUUCAUAUCCUUUCUUACAUAUAUGUACAAUUGAAGAAUGCAAAAUUGGGCACAAAGAAGUUCAAAUCUGUACUUUAGUACUGACACUACGAUGGAGGCAGCAAAUAUCAGAUAACCUUCCAUUGAAUCUCAAGGUGUAUUUUACCAUCCUGGGAAUUGAUAAGAUGGUACUUUUCAUUGAUUCGCCCAUUAUGCACCACAUCAGCAAGAUUGAUAUCAACAUGCCCCAGUGAUUCCUAUGCAUCCCCAGACAAAAGUUAUGCUUGCAUUUCUCGUUUUAUAAACUCGGUUGUAAAUGUAGGGCUGAUUGAUGAACCAUACCUUUGACCUGAAACCAAUGCCUCUUCGCUUACUCAGGACUUCAAUAUGGAUCUGAUCCGUGGAUGGAGCCUCCUCCAGCACAAACUGAAAUUCCUCAUUCCAAGUGGGAUUCCGGUUUUUGCUGAUCGACUAGAGAAAAUUGACACCAUAUUACAUCGAAACUCAGCACCCAAGAAACCAAUGCCAAACCAUGUCUUUCAUACCAUUAUAACAAAAUGUGGGAUCUAAUCAACCAACAAGUUGAUCGCCAAAAGGGAUUUUAAUUAAGGGAUUCAAACCUCGCACCUUGCUCUCAAAAAAUUUUAGAGUGUGCCAGAACACCCCAUUGGCCUAAAUGGGUGAUAAUGCGACAAUAUAAAUGUUACUGAUCGACAACAACAAAAAAAAAAAAGAAAAGAGUAAGCAAUCAACUACCUUAGUUUUUUUCUUCUCUCCUUUGAACAGGACUACAGCGUAAGGAUUAUUGUGGUUUUUGCCCUCAACGUCCUCGGCACCAAUUGCCGUCACCAAUAGUAAACCAGCACCUGACAAGUUGUCUGCAGGGGCUUCUUUAGUACUUCCAUUUCUAGCAUAAUCCGGGACUCCGCUGAACUUUUUACUGUCUUCUAGGAAAGGCACAAAGGUAAUCUCCAACAUGAUUUGACCUCGGGGCUUCUUGUCAUGGGAAUCACUACUGUUAUUUGUGCUAUUGAGCAGAUCAAGUGUAAGCUCUUUCUUCUCGUAUGGCGUCAGCUGCUUCAGCGGAACAACUUGCAUUCCCAAAUUGUCAUGUGCCCCCACCUGCAAAGCAAAGGUUGGUCCAAUGACAUGUUAAUUUUUUGUGAUCUAUCGUAAUUGCAAUAUUGAGAUAAAAACAGCGAAGUCGAAGCCUGAAAAACUUGUAGUUUGAAGACCAUGAAGUUUAAUGACUAACUAUCAUCAACGAAGUUCUAAGAGCACGUUGAAUAUUAUCAGGGAAAGAGCUUUAUAACCUUCUCCCAGUCAUAGAGGCGUAACUCGAGAACUUGAGUAUAGGGGUCCUUCACUGAGAGCUUGAAUUCUUCAUUCCAUUCGGGGUUCAGAUUAUUCAUCUUGACGGAAGUCUUCCUGGCAGGAAUCGUGUCUCCACUAAGACUAAGUUGAACGUAAGGAUCAGAUGAUCCGAGAAAGUCCUUUUUCAAGAGUUUGUAUGCCCUCAAAACCUUCACACGCAAUAUCCCAACAGGCUUCUUCACUCUUGCUCUAAGACGACAAAAAGCAGAAAGCAACGUCUUAGUCUUAUCGUGUAAACAUGAAUGAAUUAAUCUAGGUUUAAGCUAUUGACGUGAAGAAAUGAAUGCUCCUUGAAGGCAAAAACAAAAAUAUGGCACGGAACCGUGAUCACGGAAAUUGCUCAUGCAUGGUAAUGACAGGUAAUUCAGCCAAGAAGCUGAAAGGCAUUCCCAGUAAUAUCCGAGGCAAAAUAAUCAUUCUUUAGUAGCUUCACUACUUACUUUGAGUUGUCAAGUAUAGGUAUUUCGAGCGUUUGUGGCCAGAGAUAAAGCUUAGCAGCUUCUUUGCUUAUAAGUUCCUGCAACCAAUGGAAAGACCAAAUGCUACAUCAAAUUCUCUACUGCAAGUAUGAAAAAUAUCAACGUGCACGUUUAUGCCUAGAAAAAAAAAGAGAACAGAAGAUACAAGGUGCAGGCCAAGAUUUGUUAAUUCAUACAUGUGGUUGAAUUAAGAAGAUUGUGGAUUAUCUAUUAGUUAUCUACAAGACUGACUGGGUACAGAACUGUCAGGGAAAGGUGUAAUAACCUCGGGCAUUUUUUUCCAGGAACUAUAUGAGGAAGAUAACCCUUAAAUCGUGAAUCGUUCAUUUUCUUAAAUCUCCUUUUCUUGUGGAUGACUCUGAGCCAUACCUUUUCCAGACAACUAUUCCAAGUUCUGCAUCGCUUAACAUUCGAUUCUUCAUAAGAAUUUCACUUCUGCUUCAGUUGUUUAGCAUCUUGAUAACAUAAUUGUUGCUAACCACGGAUAAGGUUUUAACUUUCUGGGCUACUUGAUAUAAUGGAAAGGCAGAUGACGACCCACCUGCACGAACUGGUAUAACCCAGGGAUGGCCAUCAGAUCCCCUCCCAUGACCUUCAGCCCGAAGUCUAUCUUUGGCUACAGAAAAUGGAGAGUAUACUGAUUAAAGCUCUUCCACAUCCAUAAAGUAAUGUCCAAGCUUUUUAUUAAUAUGCGAAAUUCUUUUUUCUUACCUUCUGCAUCAAUGACACUACUACACUUGAAAAACAUGGGAAUGUUGGGACAAUAGGUCUCAAAAUUAUCCUUGGUGCUGCUGAUAUUUGUAAAUCAAUCAACUGCAAUAAGCAUAACAAAAAAUAUGAUGUAUUUGAGCUUGUUCAUAUAAUUCAUCUGUCUUUUUUUUUCGUGUGUGCUGCUCCUGGAUGCCUUUUUUUUGCAGUAAAAUAUGAUGCUUAAUAAGAAGCCAAAAAUGCAUGACCUUUGGCUAUCUUCUUUUCGGAUGAAACAAAAAUUAAGCAGCAUGACAUAUACCUGAACAGUGACUUUCGCAGAUAAGAGUUUCGCAGCCAGAAUCAUGUUCGGAUUCCCAGCCCAUCUCAGGGCAAGCUCAAAAAAUAGCUGACUCUCAUUCGAUUCGUAGACCUUAAUACCUGCCAAGUGCCAAGUUGAUGGACAAACUUUGAGAUUCAUAGAAACAAAGCAGUUCAUAUUGAUCAUGCCUUUUCCAUUGACAUUUCUUUAACCCACUUUUGUAUUUUUCCAAGUCAUACUCCCAUUUCCAGUACUGUUAUUUUUUAAAACAAAUUAUGAUCUGCCUCGUUUACUGGGUAAUUCUUUGCACUUUCUUCUGUAAACCUUUUAUCUGAGAUUUGUCAUGAUUGGUCUGGACCUGAAUUUGUCCAGACUAGGAUCAAGGACCCUUAACCAGAAAAUAGGCAUAGGCAUACAAGUGUUAUACUUACGUACCAUCAAUCAAGGGAGGGAGAGUUCCAAGGCUAAGGAUCUCAAACUCCAAAGAGUCCAACUUAAAUCUGCCAGUGUACUCAGCAAGAUAAAGUUUCAUUGCGCUUUUGAUGGCCCCACAAAUUGCCUGCAGAGGAAAGGAGAUUAUGUUUAUAAAACUUUUUGGCCUACAACUGUAUUGUAGACUUCACUAUUUCAAACAAAAAGAACAUGAGACUCUGCUUUAAGAUCACGCAGUAUAAUCUGAAGCGUACGAGACAUCAUAAGUUCGAUCACCUUAUCGAGGUAAGGCCACAUAUGACGUACAAACUUGUUCAACCAGUCCACCUACAACAUAAUGUCGAUAUCUUCAGUACAAACUACUAAGAGGGAUAGUUACAAUCUACCUCAACUCAGACAAAAUAGUUUUAUUUGUUAUUCUCGAUACCCACUCGCUCAUAGUCUGGUUUCAUAACCCACAGUGGAAGUUCAGGUAGUAGAUCAACUAAGGAGUUGGAGUCUAUCUCCUCAAGUGGCGCCCUACUGACAGGAUCCUGCAAAUUUAUAUUCAACUAGCUGAUUCAGUUCCAAAUUCCUACUCAAAUACAUAGCAAAAAUAUUUGAACAACAUCUGCACUGACUACAGGUGAAAUGUUCUUGCAAAUAUCCGUUAGUCCCUGGCAUUAUCUAUUGCUCCAGGACCAUUGUAUAGUUAUAGCAGUGCUCUUCUAACAAUUAAAGGGUAUUCUUUCUGCAUGCCUAAAAAGCCAAGACUGGAAAAUCAGUUGCAGAAGCCGACACAAGCAAAAGAAGAAAAACAAGAAUUUUUUUGACAUGCAUAAAUGCAAAAAAGAUGCCAAUUUAGAUACAAUCGGGAAAAAGGAAGCAGCAGGGGAACUGGUCUAGUUGAAUUAUCAGUAGCUUCAAAGCCAAGUGCCAAUCCAGCUAUUGGUGGACCACAAAUUAACAAGGCAUUGAUUGGUUCUGCAAAAAAUGUUCCUCGAAACAUUUUGCUAGCCACUCCUGAAGGCUUUGGAGGCUAUGUACAGUGCAAAAGAAUGUGAAAACAGAUGUCUAUUACGCAUGAAUCGAUGUAUGAUCACCUUGAUAACAUCUUGUGGCCCAAAGUAGAUAAAUAUGAGAUAACCCAGAACAAGGCCUAUUGGAACUCCAAUGCCAAAGCCUAUGAUUCCCACCAAAGUCCCAAGGAGUCCCAUUUCCUUUCUUCAACCAACAAUAAUCGAUUAGCUCCUAACUCAUCAAGAAUUUGCAAUUAAUUAACUAAUCAGGCCAUUCAGGUGACAAAAAGGUGGAAGCCAACCUAGAGAGAGUUUAGUUAGGAAAUUGUUACGUGGAGAAUGAAUCCGCUAUUCUGUAGUAGUUUUGACUUUUGAUCGUGAAUGACGAAUGACCGAGUCGCAGAAUUACUGGUCCACGUGGCAGAAUAUGCCGGAAACUAUCAAUUUGGCAGAAUUUGGAAGUUUUGACUUUUAACAUUCAAUUUUUUUUUUGGAAAAAAAGAAAGGAGUUUGCCUAAAGCAAUGAUUUUUUAAGUUUGACUUUUAAAGAAAAAUAUAUACUUUGAGUUUGAGCAUUCACACUCUCCGGAAAAAAUUGAACAUCCACGCUUGUGUAGACCCUUAGCGUGUGUUUUUGGGUGUGUGUACAAGUACUUAAAUUUAAUGAUUUCAGGUUUUAAUAUAUUCAUACAUAUUUGACAUCUAAAAAUAAAACAUCUUAAUUAAUUAAUGAGAUUUGAAUUGUCCAAGCAAAUCUUACUCCAACCAAAAAAUAAGUGAUAAACUGUUACUGAUCAUUUAAUGCAGAAUACAUGCAGAUGUUAAAAUUUUAAUAUUUAACAAUAUAAUAACUCAACAAUUUCAUAUUUCAUAUUUCAAAUUUCAGUUUUAUCAAAUGUAUCAUAAUUGGAAAUAUCUAAAGGUGUGUUUAAGAUAAAGUACAUGCAAAAAUAAGGGUAUCUAAGUAAGAGGAGUGAAGGGAUAGAUUAAGUGGUACGGGAAGAGAGGGUAUGUAAGUGAGGGACCUUGGAUUUGAGACCUUCCACUUAUCAAAAAAAAAAAGAUAAAAAGUAUUAAAAUUACGAAAAUAAUUAACACUGAAAAUUAUCAGAAGAGUCAAACAUGCUUGUAUGAUAACGUCUUCUUUGACCUAAAGUAGCAUCGACCUUACCUUUAGAUAGUUUUUGUUUUACAGGAAAAGUGUGGGAAAGUAAAAGAAAGUUAUUUAUUUUUUCUUUCAUGCAUGUUUGGUUGGCAAGAAUGUUGAAAAAAUUUCAUGCAUUUUUCUACAAUUUCCUGUAUUUUGUGCCCUACAAAUUUUGCAGGAUUUUGAAGUAAAAUAGUUAGUUAUUCACAGAAGUUUUAAUAACUCCAAUUAAUUUUUAUUAACUUCUUGACAUAAGUUUCAAUAACUGCUACUAACUGUUAUUAUUAUUAUUGAUAGUACGAUCACGGGAUUUGUUGGCGGAACCUGUCGGCCCGCAGGGGGCAAUACUAACUAAUAUUAACUUCCUAUAUUCUGUCAAUAUUUUUCUUAGUAACCAAACGUAUAUCGAAAACUUAUUUUCAUUUUCUUUUACCUCUCUUUCAUUCACUUUACUUUCCCGUAAAACUUUCCUACAAUUCAAACAUUGCCUUAGUAGAAAUAGGUAUGCAAAUAUAGCGCGAGCAUGUACAUUUGGGUGAGGUCGUAGUUCAUUUUUUUUGUCAUUUCCUAGCUGAAAAAAGUAGCCAAGAAAAAAAAGAAAGAAAAUAAAAAAGGAGAGAGAACAAAAAGGGCAAAUUAUCUGGUUGGCCCUCAAAAAAUAUUUGGCUAGCACGCUUUUAGCCCUCCAAUUAUUAUUUGCAUAGUUUUAGCCCUCCAACUUCUAAAGGCGUACACUUUCCACACCACUUCUAACGUUUUUGUCAUAACUAGCAGGACUCAUAAAAAUUUGAGUUCAGAUUCAGAAUCUACUCAAAAAAUAGAAUCUAAAAGUAUGCUUUCAUUUAAAUUUGAUAACACUAAAAUAGUGAUCAACUAUUGAUCAACAAUGAUCAAUGGUCGUUGAUCAGUAUGCAGUAGUUGCAACGGUAUUAGAUGUGAUUGGAGGAUUGAAAGUGAUAAAAUUUAUGUCAUUUUGAGGUAGAUUUCGUUGGGAGUAAUAGUUAAAAUUGACAAACGGUUUAAAAAUAUAUAUAUGUUUUUAGAUAUAAGAGGGCUAAAAGUACGCGAAUAAUAGUUAAAGAGCUGAAAGUGGACAAGAUUAAUAGUUGGAGGCCCGGGCAGGUAUCUUGUCCGAACGGAAAAUCCACUCCACUCCAGACUUGCUCAUCGACGAGUGUUGUGCUUUCAUACAACCCGGUCAUGGAGCCCAACACGUUGAUCAAAGCCCCCUCUUCUCAGCCAGCAGUUUUAAGCCCAAAUUUUAAAAUACGCGGACUCUGACGAGUAAACCGACAUUGACAAGAAAAUACGCAGACCUUGAAGCAAUUAUUAGUAUAUAUAUAUAUAUAUAUAUCGCCAUAGAAUAGUAACUAACAGUGUACCACUAAACUCCAACAUUUGGCUUCCACGACCAUAAAAAGAGCCAAAAAGAAGGAAGAUAACUGAGGAGGACAUUUGCUGGCUUGGUUUGGCCAACUACAGUGAAAUGAUAGAAUACAACGUGCGUCUUAGGUAGAAAACUAGUAGGUACAAUGAACCGUUUCUGAGCUCGAUAAAACAAAUAAGUGGUUUAUUUACGAAACCCCAAAUAUCACAGUAUUCCAGUAAACUAAACUAACAUAAACAAAAAAAUAAUUCUCAGGAGCACAGGGAAUUGAGUUGUGUGUGUUGGCCAUAUGGGUAUCUCCCAACUGCCGAAAGAGAUGGGACUCUGGUGGAACUUUUAUUUUUAUCCAACGCUACUGUUACUGUUAACCAAAAUGGUAAAAACAGAAAAGAUGAAAACAGCAGUCACUUGUUCUUUCUUUUCUAUAUAUACUACUAAUAGGAUUGUGCCAGCCGAAGUUCAACGAAUGUGAACAUAUAUAUAUCUUACAUAUAUAUAAAAAGCUAAGACUUCUACUCCCAGGUUUAGCCACGUGGUAGGCUAAGGGAAGGGAGAAAAAUUUUCUUCCGUUUAUGCCCUGAGAAUCUUGAUUAGUUCUCUGAACAGUGUAUCACUGUUGAGGUCAUUUUUGUCUUUUCACAUGAAAUUACUAUCUUGCCCAGAUAAAAAUAACUAACUCCAAAACAGUAACUUACUGUUGAGGGCUAUUUCUGACUUCUCGCGAAUAGCCUUUUGCUUUAUUUCUCAGUUGUCAUCUUUUCUUAGACGUAGUUGCCAUCACCUCUGUUGUUCUUCACUUCUUUGUCUCCGUUAUCAAAGACAAGAAGUCAUAGGAGUCAAAAAGUCAAAUAAAAAUCUGGAAGUGCACCGAUGUGGCAGGAAAGCAAAACACUCCCUUUCUACUUCAUUUUUACAACUUUAGCCCAUAGGAGUCAAAAAGUCAAAUAAAAAUCUGGAAGUGCAUCGAUGGCAGGAAAGCAAAACACUCCCUUUCUACUUCAUUUUACAACUUUAGCCCAUCAUCUUUUGUUUUCUUCUUCCUUUCUGUCUCUCUCUGUUUACCGUUAAUUUUUCUUUCAGCUUUCUUUUCUCCCACAAAGAGUCAAUUAUGGCUGCCCAUCCAUAUCCGAACUGUGGGAUUGUUCCACAAAAGAUGAUAAUCCUCUUUUCCUUUUCAUUGUUCCCGUUUCUUGGACUAUUCUUCUCUUCGGUGGAAAAAAAGAAGUACAGAAGCAGCUGAAUAGCUUUUAGAAACAGUGGCCAAGAAAUGGGUUGUCCGCCUGCUUCCUCCAACAAUUGGUCAACAAUUUCAGGAUUGGCUUCGCUAAAUUGUGGCUGCUCAUCGGAUUUUUUCGUUAGUCAUUAUCCAUUCCUUUUUAUUCCCCAGCCAUUCUUUUCCUCUUGCUUUGUCUCUUUUUUUCUGUUUGCUGUUCUUUACUUUCCCCCUCCUGUUGUUUCCAGAUCAGUCGGUCAAUCAUUUCAUGAUUUUCUUCCCUAAAUUAUGGCUAUCCAUCCAAUUUUUUUACUUCUGUGCUCUCUAUCAUAUCCCAACCAUGGGAUUGUGGUUUGUCCUUUUGUAUUCAUUUUCAUUUUUCGAUUGAGAAAUUAUUGAGACUCAAAAGAAAAAUCUCUGACAAUUUAUCAGUUUGCAUCUUUAUCCGCUCUGUUCAUGAUGGCUAAUACCAUUGCUAGGGAUAUAGGUUUGUCCUUUUCUUUUCCUUAUUGUUGACCACUUGGCAAAUUAUCUAGAAUGAAGGAAAGUUUGCGCCUUUAUAUUAGGAACAGAAAUACUGGUCACAAAAAACUUCACGCUUCUUCAACCUUGUCAUCUACAACUUUUUGUACUAAAGGUAACUACUACUCUUCUUUGUUUAAUUUUUUUUCCCUACCAGUAUUAAAGAGAUUGGAUAAUCUGUCUACUUGUUAUUUUGGUUGCCAAAUUUCUUGAGGGUGUUAAUUGCACUUUGAAACAAUUGGUGCAGAAAAACUUCUAAUUAAGCGUCCACAGAUUUCCAGUAAGUAGUUGCUUCAAUUUCAGGUCACUCUCUUCAGUCCUUCAGUUUCUUGUUUUUUCUUUUCCUGUUAAUAAUAUGUACAACUGAUUUUGAAGGAAGGGUUGUCACCACUUUCUGAAUAGAGAUAACCAAGCUAAAACAAGUUAAAUUCUCAGUCUGAAGUGUAAGCUGAGAAUAAAAGAUAAAAAGUCUUACACAUUAAGGUUUUGCCCCAUGUUGAAGGUAUUAUGCACAAAAGUUAGGUAGGCGAUAGAAGAAACAAAAUUUAAAACUGAUAAUCCUAAUAUUGAGUUUCUAGGAUUUGUUGUAGCUGGCUUAGAGGUGUGGUAUAUUAAUUUCUCAAAACUAUUUCUAAAGGCAACGUUCCUGGUUCCACAGAACUCUCAAAUCUUAAAACCACAACAUGUUGGCUGAUCUAUUAAUAUUCACGUAUUCUGGAUACAGUUAGUGAUGCAUAAUCGAUUCUAUGAAUACUAUUACACCCAAUUAAAGAUUAUAGAAUCUAUGGCAGUUUCUCUAAAUCCGAGUAUCUAUAAAGCUGGAACAUUAAAAAAAACACGAGGUUUCCUUGAUGAAAUAUGUUUCUUGAUGAACUUUGAACCAUACAACCUGAUAUUUGCAUGAAAAAAUGCGCAGACCUAAUGAAGCCAGAUUGUCUGGUAAGCAACAGAAGUGUGUUGUUUCAUGGCUUAAAAUGACUGUAGUUUUUGGGUUGUAAGUUCAUUUGGUUUCACUUAUUGACUGAAUAUGGCUGAAAAUGAUUGUACCUCUGCAAUCUUUCCUACUAAAACUAAUCACGCCUUUCUUUUUGUCUAAUUUUUUCCUCUGUCAGUAUUACACUUAUUAGAUAGUUUGUAUAGUUUUACGUUGACUGAUAGGAUUCUUCUGCAUGCUAUUUAGAUUGCCAACUCUGUUCAGCGGUUUAGUUGCGGUAUUCCUCUGUCAACAACUUUUUCCCCAAAUUUUGGCUGGUCUUUUGAUUCACAAAGAUCGUAUUCUAUCUCAUCUCUCAAUCAUGUGAUUAUUGCAAAAAAGACAUUUUUGCAGAUUUGAUCUAUUUUCCAGUUAUGAUGACAGAUAGGCUUCUUAGCAAUUUAGGUCUUUACGUUUUAGGGAAAUCUGGAAUCAGAAAGGGAACAUACAUAUUUAUCACUCCUUAUUUUGUCUUGCAAUCUGAGCUCUUACUAUUGGAAGGAAAUAGGAGCAGCAAAAAAUCCCACCUUGCUCUUCGCUGCUUUUUCUCUGAUGCCUUCUUGGGUAAGACAGAUUUUUUCUUUACUUUUUGUUAAUUUCUUUACAUAACAAAUACCAAUAGUAGAUAAAUAAAGAAACUAAUGUAUACACAUUAUUGAUCAUAGUCUCUUUUUGGAUUUUAUCUUCGUUGACAAGGUUUGUUUCAUUUUUUUAAGUUUUUUAUUAGAUGUUCUUCAUUUUGUUAUUUCUUUUUCUCAUCUUUUUUAUUAAAUGAUGUUCUGAUGUUUGAGUUUUUUUUUUGGUUGGUGGUGUUUGUUUUGGUUGCAAGCAAAUACAGAUGUUCAAACAAGUCAAGUAUGUGAAAUCUCAUAGACUAAUGACUAUCAAGCGUUUGAUGAAAUGUCUAUAUGAAACUUGGGAUAAUUAGUAGAGAAAAUGUGGAGAGAAAGAUUACACAGGUAAAUUCUAUUUUGCUCUAUAUCCUUUUUUUUUCUAUGGCCAAUUCUUUUUGUGUUUUCUAGGGCACUUUAUCUUUCCUUUUCGACCUUUUUUGGUUCUGAUCUUGAUCUCAUGUUGCUCAUUCUAUGUUGACGUUCGCUAUAUUUUUGCUAGUGAUAGAUGUCAUAUGGAAGUUUAAUUUUGAUCUUUCAGUUUGAUUUUUGAAAAAUUUUGUUCAUUCUUUCAACCUUUAUAUGCCUUUCAAGUUCAAUUUGGUCCAUGUAUACUUUCAACUCUUCAUCUUUUCGUUACUUUUCCAGAAUCUUUUUUGUGGCUGAGCUAAGAUUUCUUAAAAAUGACUUUGAUGUCUAUGCCUUUUGAGGAACAUGAUUACAUAGGCUUAUCAGAGGUUCCUGCAAUGGAAAGUUCUGAAAAGAAUAAUGCUCUGCCUUUGGGAGAUAAAUAAGAAAAUAAAAUGAUGCAUUGUCCUGCGUGCUAUGGGAGGGGUCUAAUUGCUCAGAGAUGGGUUUGAUACAAUGUAAAGUUGUAUUCCAUACUCUGACUUUGUUGUAUCUGUAGGGAGAGUUCAUACCAUAAACUGAAAGUUACACACUUCAUAGUUUAGCUAUGUUAGGCCCAUCUUGAUCGUUAGCAGCUUUCUCUCUGCAAUUAUUGUUAUCGGAUAUAAGACUUUCUAUGUAGCUGAUAGCUUGUCAAAAAAUCUCCAUGCAGAUGCUUAAAAUGUAAUGGGAUGUGUAUGGUGCCUUGAGUAACUUGUGGUUCUUGUGGGCCUAUCAAAUGUGUGACGUGCAUGGGUGGUGGUUCUCUUUUGACUCACAAAGUGGGUAUUAUCAGAUGGUAUGGCCUAUGUUGUUUUGCACAAUAUAUUUGGCAUGCCAUAUCUCUUAUAGAUUUUAGGACAUAACUAAAAGAACAUUUUGGAUUUAGUUUAAAAGAACAUAACUAAAUGAACUUGUUAUCAUGAUAGGUAAAUUGAUUUUGAAUCUAGCCUGAAGCAUUUUGGGGAAAAAAUUGUUAAAAUGCUAAAAGAACAUAACUAAGUAAAAGUUGGGGUUCAGUUUGUCAUUAAAAGUUGGUCCCUAUGCACAUUCCUCAUAGGUAAGGGCCAUUUAGUCCAUGAUCCAUUGGACAGUCAGUUCAGGGCCAGAUAUUGAAGCAGUGCCAUCUGAUUUCUUUUGAAUAAUUUUAUAACUACUUUUUCAGUUUGUUGGUUCAUUCAAGAAUGACAAGUAUGUUGGUUCAUUCAAGAUCAUUCAAGAAUGGCAAGUCAAGUAUUCACAGAAUCUUCAUUGGACAAACUUAAAUGUGCUAGGCUUGAAACCCUCCUUUGAAGUAAUUGUCAUGGAUGGCCAAGUACACCCUGUGGACAUGCGUACUAGGUCACUUAAGCCUGCAACAACUUUGGCUUGUGAUUUAUGUGUUUGGAUGCUAUGUUGAGAUCCCUACCAAAGCUAAAAGAACUUUAGUGAACCCGACCAGAAAAUUUGAAAUCACUCUGUCCACAAGAUUUAUUGUUUCGGUUUUGUUGUUUCUUGCAUGGCAUUCCUUCAAGUUAUGCUGUUUGCCUAUUUCAAUCUGCCUCAUAGUUGUGCCAUGAUGGAGAAAUAAAGGAAAACAUAAUUGUUUUAAGUACCGAUUAUGCAUUUUGUCUGUGUUUUUGGCUGUCCAGGAACACUUUCAACUCGGAAGUGAGCGCAACAAGUAGAGCUGCUACAGUUCCUGACGAUGUUUUCCACAGAGUGCAAGACAUCCAGUUGUGCAAUACCCAAGCCUACCAAUGCACUCCUGCUUUUUUUGCCGAUUCAUUCUUCCUCAACAAGUUUUCCUCUGAAGUAACUGCAGAAAGGGCUUCGGUCCCUCAUACUGCAAGGGUUAUAGUGAGAGACAUAUCAUCUCUAUUGUCCCAGUCACUCGUGUGACUAUGGCCCAUCAUAAUUGCUCUUUCAGUUUCUAUAUUAUCAGAAACGGUAGAGAAGUUUAUCUCAAGGACUAUCCGGCUAGGUUCUGUUGGGGCCUGUGCCCAUGCUUUGAGUGGUUGAAAUCAGAAGUUGCUGUUGUUACUCCUGAGGUCCUUCACUUGCUAGAUUGAAAUGAUUUCCAGAGGACAGAUAUUUUAGUUUUUGCUCAAAAUUGGGAAGAUAGAAUCAGUUCAAACAUGUUAAUGGGUUAUGCGUUGAGUGAAUGAGAUAUUGUACGAAUCAAGAUUUUUUUGUGCUCAUGCAAAAAUAGAAGUUAAGCUGGUAACUACAACCAGAAAUGCUAGCACAUAUAAAAUGGUGCAAGUAUUGCAAUGAGUAAAUGGUCCAAUGAGGAUGGUUUACAUUCUGUAUGUUGUCAACUAUAUUCUCUGCACAACAAUUUCAUCGUUAGACGUUCUAUUCAACUUAAAUGAAUAAUCAUCUAAUCAGAUUAGUAUUUUUUAAGGUUCCAAACGAGUAGUUUAAUUUUUUAUUUUUAAAAUUUAUGAUAUGCAUCUCCAUACAUCUAUAUAGGAAAACCAAAUACCUCUCCUGCAUAUUUAGCCCAACACAUUGGGCAUUGGCUGUGCGUUGCACAGCCGAAAAAGUUUCUAGUAUAUAUAUAUAUAUUUUUUUUUUUCUUUGGCGGGUGCUUUUGGUGUUUAGUACUAGUGUGCUAUUUUUUUGAUGUGUUAUGGGGGAGUAAAUAUAUGCUACCAAAAAUACCUACCACAAAUGUUUGUAACCACUAAUAAUUGCAGCUGACAAUAAUAGUAUAGCAACAUUAAAUGUCAACACUAAAACCAUAAAUAGUUACUCCCACUAAUUUGCUCCCACUUUUAUAACAAUAAUAAAAGGGAAGAAAAAAAAUACCCUUCAAAAGGUGUGAGUGAUGAUCUCCAGUCGUAAGAAGCUCUUCCUGAUCUGAUGCAUUGAAUAAGUAGAACAGCCAACUUUUUGAUUCAACCAUGUGCAGACUGCGGAAUACCAGAAAGUUGUGCGAGUAGUAAAAGUUAGUCCUGUUGUUCCAAGACUUUUGAAAACUACUCUUACUCUCACUGAUAUUUGACACGUAACUGGCCCCUUCCCAACCCCACCACAUACGCACACGCAAUCAGAUGAACAGCUGGUUCAGGAUUUAGAACGUAGGCCAAAAAAAAAAAAAGAGUUUGUUUUUUCAUUUUUACAACAGGCUAUCGAGUUCGCUGUAGAUCUUCGUCUUCUUCUCCAGAAUUCAGAUUUCAGAAUUUAGAAAUGUUACUGGCAGUGUGGUUGUUUUGUUUAUUGACUCUAUUCGAGUAUAAACUGUAAUCAGCCAUUUGUAUCUAACAAAUUUCAACGAGAAAAAAGAUCAGUUGUUUGUUUACUGACAGGAUGAUUGUUUUAUUUAUUGAGCCUUUCUGGAAAGUGUUAAGUUGUAAUCAGCCAUUCGUAUCUAACAAAUUUCAACUAGAUCAUUAAUAGGUCUAAGUUGGUGCUUUGGUUCCGAGCAGUGAAAGCAUGUGUGUGUUUGUCCUAGCUAAUUGUUGUGCAAAAUUUUGAUAGAUAAGAGCUUGUUAAAGUAAAGUACCGCUACUCGCUUACCAUUGUCGUUCAUAUGUUAAACUCGAUUUGAUACUGAAAUCACGAGAUCAAGAAAACCAUUACUUCCGCUGUGCUCUAAGAGAAGCCCGCAAUUAGUCGAACUCCGUGAUAUUUUUUUAAAAAAAAUUUGUUUCCCAAACCAUCGAAGCAUAUGAAGGGUCGGCUGCCAUCGAUAAUGAAUCUCUUCUGAUUGCCAAGUUUUCUAACCAAACUAAUAAGUCAACCCAGAAGUUCAGAAUUAUUUUAAAUGUUAAACAAUGGAAGUCAACCGUUCGUAAAUAUGUAGUGCAUUUUUUUUUUUAUAAAAACAAAAAAAAAAAUUCUCCAUAUAUUCAAGAUGUUUAUCCCAAAAGUUAAAAAGAGAACAAAGGGAAGGGACAAGCUUUGAAGAUAUCGGGUGGGGCCCCGCCUCAGUAUGAAAUGUGAGGUGGGCAACUGUAAAGUUCCCAACCACUGCCCGUGGAUUUGCGUUGUAUUGUCGUUAUAAAGCUUUUGCCCUUUUCCUUUUUCCCCCUGAAACCAAGAAUAUGCGAUCAGUGCAAAAAUUCUUACUAACAAAAUCUUAAAAAAAAAAAAGAUCCUAAAACUUUUAGGGUGACGGUAGUUUUAUUGAAGAUUAAACUUUAUCCCUUAAGAACUCGUGAAGCUUCUGUCUUUCGGGAGACUAAACGCCGACUUUAAAGGGUAAUAAUUCUCAAGUCCCAUGAUGCUCGGCCAAUAGUUUGGGAAAUAUAUAUUCCUUCUGCUAUAUGGGAAAACAGAUUCCAUCAUCCGCGAACACUCUUGAGGACCAAAUUCAAUCAAUAACGAGGAAAAGAAGUUCUAUAACCAAAAGAACCAUAUUUAGACUUUGUACUUAGCACAAAUUUUGAUGUUGAUGGGCGUCCAAACUUCCCAAACUCUGGCUGUUGUUGUUAUAAAGCUUCUGUCACAGUACUAUACUAAAUGCUGUGCAGAUAAUUAUUAACCCCCCAAUCCGGGUGGCGGGGUCCCGUUCCGUUGACAAGAGGAAACCACAGGCUAUACUAUAAAUUAAUAUUUAUACUACACCACCAUGGAUGGAAGUCAAUCCCUUCCUCUUACUGGAAGAUAUUGAAUAUAUAAGAUGCAUUGAUUGAUUUCAUUUUGUUCUCCAAACUCCAAACCCUCUGCUACUGCCUUAUCUUGUGAUACAGUGCCGGUAGUAGUAUUAAUUUAUACCAAGAGCCAUACCGUCAUAUCUCCUUACCCGUCUCUUUCGCGUAGUGGUCCAAAGACCAAACUAAUAGUAUGGUACUCUUAGUUUGGAUAGGAAAUUAUUUGGAAUAAUUACUGUAAUACUUUUUAUGAUGUGAUGUAUGUAAGAUAAAAAAAAGGGCAGUUUUUUUCGAAUGUUGCUUUCAGUGUUUUGGUAAAAUAAUGUAGCUGCCUGAAAUACUUAUAAUAAAAAAGGUAGAAAGAUUUGCUAUUCGUUUGGAGUCAAUUUGUGUGCGUGGAGAUUCUAAUAUCUGAUCAACUAAACCGAUUGUCAAACUUAAGUUUGAUUAAGACUGAGACUGAAAAAUGCUUCGGUAGAAUACUUUUAGUUAAAACAGAGAAAGGAGAUGACUGAGGGAACUAGAUGGAACUGGAACGAUGCUUUACACUUUCCUAGUUCUUGCGUUUGUUUGGCAAGAUAUAGAGAAGACUUAGGUCGGCUUUUGCAUGUUUAGAGGCAAUAUCUGAGACAGAGAACUAUUAAUAAUACAUAGUUAUCGAAGGAAGGAAAAAGGGAACAUGCAAAAGAAUGGCAUGUCAAAUUUGUUGGAUAGAUUAAUAAUGUGCAAGUCAAACGCAAAGGGGGAAAAAAAACAAAUGAAAAAUCAAUAAAGUAAUGAAACGGCUAACGAAGAUUAUCACUACAAACCUCUUCAACAUUUAGAAAUUUCCCAUGUUUGAUAACAGAAAUACUUUUAACAUUUAAUGUAUUAAACAUUUCUUAAUUCACGCGUUGAAUUUUAAGUGAAAAUUUUUCACUAAAUCUUCUAAAUUGAUUAUACAUAUUAUACCUAUCACGCACAUAAUAUGCUCUCGUACCAUUUUUGCAAAUGGUAUACGAUUACUUCAUAUACACACAAGCAUGCACGCGUACUCUCUUACUUAUAAAUACACACACUUGAACGUUAUCUCUGAAUUGUUUCAUUAUUUUCUCUCUUUCACACACGCAUUUUUCUUUUCUUUUAUCCUCUCCAAAUAUACAAAUAAAAGUAAUAUUUUUUAUAGAUAGAAACAUAAUAUUUGUAUGAUAUUUCAAUUCAGCACUUAAUUUUCAUAUUUUAGAAUUCAAAUUUUAAACUUCAAUUCUAUCAAAUGGGUCCAUGUUUUGAUUUUGUAGAGUUUGCACACUGGAAUUCCUAUUCACAAAAGAAAUGAGCGCGAGGAUACUUUCUUUUGAAGUAAAAAUAAAGAAAAGGAAUAUAGUGGUUAACUUUUUUAUUUGAAGCUUUAAAAUUUAUCUAAAUAUGGACUUAAUUAAUUGAAAGGAAAUAAAUACAUUUAAUGAAUUUCUAUUUGGUCCAUCGUUCUUUUCCAUUAACGUAUGGCUGGUAUUUUUGUUUCUUCCCAUUUAUGUGUAGGAAAACAUAAUGCAUUUAUAUUACUCCAUUUUGCCUUCUUUUUUGCUAUGUAAUAAUUAAUAUAAUUCCCUCUUAAUUCCUAAAUCCAAUGAUGGAUACUGCUGAAAUGUGGACUGAAUGCAUAUUUGGUAUACAAUUUUUUUUAGGCAAGCCAUCCAAAAUAGAAAUAAAAAACCUACUACAAAAAAAAUAGUAAAGAAAGUUUCAACUUGCCGAGAGCAAAAAGGAGUGAUAAUAACUGCAUGAAUAAAUCUUAUAUACACUGUCACCGUUUGAUUCAUGACAUGCGUGUAAAAGUUGAAUUUUAAAUUCAAAUUUUGCAUAGUUAUCAUUCAUCCAACGCUGAUAGUGUAUAUCUUAUCAGUGUAGGAAAGAUUAAUCAUAACUACACCACAUAAAAUCUUAGCAAACAUAACUCUUAAGACGUUUGAUGCAACGAUCAUUAAAAAAAAAAAUUAAGAAGUUCCUAUAAAAUAGCCAUCUAGAUGUCACUUAUACUAUUAGUUAACAGUAUAAAACUUAAUCGCAUUAUAAAGUUUCCCAAAUUUUAAACUCUUAAAGAUUACAUAGCGUUUAAGGACUAGUUUGGGAGUUUAGGAAAGAAAAGAAAAGAAUUGCAAGCUUGAUGAGUUAGAAAGGGAAGACAUUUUGAAGUCAUACGGGUAUAUUAUAAUGGAUAAUUAUGGUAAUUUAAAUCCUUUUAAUAUUCACUUUCAUUUUUCUUUCCACUUUAGGAGAGACAGUUUUGUUGAGAUUUUAUCCUUUUGUUUUCCAUUUGAAGCUCACAAACAGGGGAAAUCCUCAACGUUAUCUUCUUACCUGUAUUUCCAUCUCCUGAAUAAGGGAAUUUAUUUAUUUAUUUAUUUUCUCCCCAUUCUCUCAACCCAAACCGUAAAUGAGAAAAGGGCAUUUCGACCUCUAUAACAAACACAGCCUAACCCCCAUAUUUCCCGGCACCCGAAAUUAGAUCCAGAUGGGGGACAGAGAGGGCACUUUCUUUUUAAUAUACUGCUUCACGUCUCUUUACUGUAGCUUUCGGUUCAAAUAAAGUUACCUUUAUUUUUCUGUUCUCAAAAAAAAAAAAAAAAAAACCCCAGGAAAUUUUCUUUCUUUAUUUUUUGUUUUCAUUUUUCUCCCUUUUACUCUCUUUCCAAGAUAGCUUCUACCAGUACUUAAAAAACAUAUAUGCUGGCAGACUCUCUCUCACUCUCUCUGCACACACUCACACACACAAAUUAACAGCUACUAAUAACAUGGAUGCGCACACACUCACCGAGUUUGGAUACCCAUAAUAAAUAAUAAUCUAUAAGUAUUACCCACAAAUAUAUAUGUGUGUGUGUAUAUAUAUACAUAUAUCUAUAUUUAUUUGUAGUGUUGUAUCUAGAUGCAUGUAGCUCACUUUCCUGUAGUAGAAUUUAAUCAACGCGUGGCCUGUUGAAAGCCUCUGAUCUUUGCUCUGAAACAGAGGAGGAGAGAGAUAGAGAGAAAAAGGGUAAGAGAAAGAGAGAAAAAGGCUUACCAGGUGGAGGAGGAGGAUGAGAAGGUAAAAGAUUUACAAAACCCUAAAAAGUCAUGUACUGCAUCUUUGCCACUUGUCAAAUCAGUUUCUGACACCCGUACGUAAUUGCGUAUGCAUAUCCAUAUACGCCUGUGCAUACGUGUGUCUAAUUUCUGCUCUGUCUUGUUGGAUUAAUUACUGGGAGAUACGUCAAAUGGUUCAUUUUCUUUACUAUCUAGAUUUCAGAUCCAUAGCAGUAAGUAUCAAUUUACGUCUAAUUAAUGAUUUUCCAAAUGUUUGUUGGGGAUUGAAUGUUGCGCCUCGAGGAUUAGGGUUUUGAUUCUGCAAUUGGUGGUUGCUUUUAUUUGGAUUGUGCUUUUAAGACCUGCUUGCUGUUUUUGGUGCUUUUAUUGCGGGCUUGUUUUUAAUAUCUUGUUGAAUGGAAUCUUGUAGGCACUUGCAGUAUUAGAUUAAUUAAAUUUAUGUUUUUUUUUUGGUCGAAGAAAAAAUGAAUUGAUUUGCUUUUUUUCUUUUUUUCUUUUUUAAAUUGUUGCUCUCGCAUUUCAUGCAUGACUUGAAAUUCAUUAGGCGAAUGUUUCUAACUCAGCGCACUGAUUAUUAGUAUAUUAUAUGCGCAUACCCUUUUAUCUACAAACACCAAAAGCUGUGUUCUUUUGUCUGUAGUCUUUUUGUUUAAGUUUUUCAAAUUAUCUCUUUUACUUUAAUGGCCUCUUCUCAUGUAAUCUUAUGGAAUUUUUUCUUCUGGGUUUUGAAUGCCAUUGCCAAUUUAUGCAAGGAAUUGGAAAGUUGUGGUACUUGAGAUGGAUUAAUUUCACACAGUUAUCUGUAAUUUUCAACUAUGCUAGGUAUCAAUGUUUAUGGUAAACCCAGUUUUUAGAGUGUCGAUCAUUUUGACCUUCUUUUGACAUGCAAGAUGGAAAAUUAUCUGCGUCAUGGAUCAGGGUUGCUAUUUAAUGCAUUCUACUUUAUCAGGUUUACGUCAGGAGUUUUGGCAAGGAGGGCAUUUUGGACAAAAGUCUUUUUGCAGCAUGCCAGAUUUCAAACGGUGGUAUUUAUUUCACGGUGGAUCUAACUGGUUAGCCGGAGUCCGGAGUUUCGGGGGACACAACCAUCUCUGAUCUGGUAGAGAAUUUUCUUCAAAGAAAAUGAAGUGUAUGAAAUCAAUUUAAUUGGGAAGGGUUGUGAGUGCUACUAGCUUCAAAGUCAAAUUUUUUGGUUCAUCAGUUGUAAUCUGACUGGUUGUUCCUAUUGGCUUGAUCAAGUUUACAGGUGUUAUGCCAGAUUCUUUUUAAAAUUCAUGGCUGUCAGAUUUGUGUUUGUUCUUCAUAGUCUGGAGUGAUGAUGAAGGAAUUAGGUUUUUUUUUCUGUCUGAGCCAAGUUAGUAACAUUGAUCAUACAAGUUGCUUGUGCUAUUCUGCAUGACUGCUGGGGUUGAUUGGCAUCUCCUCAGAUUACUUUUGUGAAGACUGGCUAUGUAAAUAGUACUUUAAUAGAAUCUGUUGCUUCUCCAGCUAUCUCGAUGCGCAAUUAACAAUCAGAAUCUUGUGUAAUGAACUCUUUUGGAGGAAAAAAAAAGAUGGAAUUUGACACUUUGACGGACAACCGUCAGCCUAGCACUCUUCAGCGGCUAUUUCCAGCUGUUGUACCAGUAGUUUUUAUUGCAAUCAGCUAUGUUGAUCCUGGAAAGUGGGCUGCAGCUGUGGAGGGUGGCGCACACUUUGGGGUUGAUUUGGUGUUUCCAGUACUUAUUUUCAAUUUUGCUGCCAUUCUUUGUCAAUACCUAUCAGCUCGUAUAGCGGUGGUUACUGGUAGAGAUCUCGCCCAGGUACUUACUGAUCCUUUUUGCAGUCUAAUUCCCAAUUUAUGGAUAUGGUACUGGUGACUCGCAUAUACAUGUUCUUAUCUUCUUUCCUGUUAUAUUUUGUCUCAUGGGAACUUUUUUGUACUAGAAGUUGAUACUGUUGUGUCCACUGCAGGACCUAAGUUAUGGUUUUGUUGCUUGUCUAUAGUGAUUGCACCAUCUGAAUGACCCUUUACAUCUUGUAGUUGGGGCAGUAAACUUUUUGAAUGUUACACUAGGAAAACCUUUUAGUAUCUGUUAAUGUAUACCAUUCUCAUCCAACCAUGAACUUUUGUCAUGCAAGGUCUUCAGAAGUUGUAUUCCCUUCUUUAGACUCACUUGGUUUUGUGAAGGUCGUUGAUCCGGUUUCCUUGUUCAGUCAACGAAAUAAGCACAAUGCUUACAGCCCAAAGUUAUAUGGAGCCCUGCCGAUUGAGAUAUAUAUUAGCCUAUUAGACUAGCCAAGAGUGUAUUUCACAUAUUCACCUCUCUGUGUUUUUCGCCAUAGCUCCCUAUUUCUCGACCUCCGUUAAAAGUUUUAUGAUAUCAUUAUUAUAUCCUAUACAUUUCUUUUGAAUCAUCCCAUUCCUCCUUUGACUGACUGAUUGACGAGGCUUCUUUGGUGUUCCAAGAUUUGCAGUGAGGAAUAUGACAAAAUCACCUGUAUGCUAUUAGGAGUUCAAGCUGAGAUCUCAAUUAUUGCAUUGGACCUAAUGAUGGUAAUUUUUAAGAUUUCAUGACUUAUUUAGAAACUGUGGCUUUGACCAUUUCGUAUUCAUAACAGUUUCUAUUUUUAUUGCAGGUUUUGGGAACUGCACAUGGGCUUAAUGUUCUGUUCGGAAUUGACCUUUUCACGGGUGUCUUUCUGACUGCUCUUAAUGCUGCCUUAUUUCCACUUCUUGCUACAGUCCUUGUAGGUCUUGUUGCCUGUGUGUUUUCAGUAUAUCAUUCUUAUCGUCCAUCUUAUUCUGAGUAUUGUCAUUCUUGUUUCUAUGAUUCCCAGGAAAACAGCAGAGCAAAAUAUCUAUCCAUAUGCAUCUCAAUAUUUGUCUUAGUGUCAUAUAUUUUUGGAGUAUUGGUUAGUCAACCGGCAAGUCCACUCCCCUUGGGUGGGACAGUGACAAGGUUAAGUGGGGAAAGCGCCUUUGCUUUGAUGAGUCUUCUUGGAGCAAGCAUUAUGCCUCACAACUUUUACCUGCAUUCUUCAGUUGUGCAGGUCUCCUCUCCCUCUUCCUCUCCACUCCCUCCCUCUCUCUCUCUCUCUCUCUCUCUGCAUGCGUGUGUGUGAGAGAGAGAUAAUACGUGCAUAUGCACUCUGUGAUGCAUGGCCAUCAUCCGGUGGUCUUUUCUUUUUUGGAAAUGUUUUGUGUAUCUGCUUAUUGUUAUGUUUUACCAUCCUUGCAGCUGGAUCAGGGGCCAAACAAUGUUCCCAAGGAAACCUUGUAUCAUGACCACUUUUUUGCCAUUUUUUGCAUUUUCAGUGGCAUUUUCCUGGUCAAUUACGUGCUUAUGAACUCAGCUGCAAAUGUGUUCUAUAGUACCGGUCUUUUGUUGCUUACUUUUCAGGAUGCACUGUCCCUGUUGGAUCAGGUUGAUUCUCUCAUCUCCUCAGUUUCAUUUAUUAAUAACACGCAUUAUGCAUGUCAAUACUGGGACUACAUUUAAAGUUUGGCUUACUAUUGAUGCAGGCAUUUAGGAGUUCAAUUGCAUCAUUUUGUUUGAUAAUGUUAAUGUUCCUUUUGAGUCAAGUGACUGCAUUGACCUGGAAUCUUUCUGGACAAGUUGUUGUGCGCGAACUUUUUAAAAUGGAUAUUCCUGGAUGGCUUCAUCAUGCCACAAUCAGAAUUAUUGCAAUCAUUCCAGCCCUUUACUGUGUGUGGAAUUCAGGAGCUGAAGGUAUAUACCAAUUGCUGAUAUUCACACAGGUUGUGGUCUCUCUUAUGCUUCCAUCUUCUGUUAUCCCUCUCUUCCGAGUAGCCUCCUCCAGACAAUUAAUGGGUAUCCAUAAAAUUUCUCAACGGGAGGAAUUUUUAGCUCUGAUCACAUUUAUUGGUAUGCUUGGUCUUAAGAUUAUAUUUUUUAUAGAGCUAGUAUUCGGUGAUAGUGAUUGGGUGAGUAACUUGAGGUGGAAUAUCGGGAGUAGUGUGCCAGUUGCUUAUGUUACUCUUCUUCUUGCUGCUUCUGUCUCCUUCUUUCUGAUGCUUUGGUUAGCAGCCACUCCAUUGAAAUCAGCCACCUCCAGAACAGAUGCUCAGGCAUUGGACUUGGAUAUGCAUCCUACUGUGCUAGAGUCCGGUACAGAAGGAGAGCAAAAUGAUGUCCUUGUACCGAAAUAUCAGAUAGAUAAGCCUACAGGCAAGCAAGAACCACCAGUGACUUUCGAGAAAUCCUUGGGUUCGAGUCGUAAUCUCAGUUUGCCAGAGACAAUUUUUGAUUCUGAGAAUGUCCUUCCUUUGACAACUAUUGAGGAGAAUAAAUCUGAAGUUACAAUUCCAAGUCCCGGCUGUUCUCAGGAGGCAUCUCCAAUUGUGCUUGACAGGAAUUUGGAUGCACCUAUACAUGGUGAUAUUUCUGAUGGUCAGUCACAGAAUUCUCAGGCCUUGAAAACUGAUACAACAGACCUGGCGGAAAAGACACUGCAAGUAGAGAGGGACAUACAGACUGUGAAGGAUGAUGGAGAAUCUUGGGAGCUUGAAGAACCAACCAAAGAGGUUCCCGAGAUGAACCAGUCAUUGACAUCUGAGGGUUCAGGAUCAUUUAGAAGUCUCAGUGGAAAAAGCGAUGAUGUUGGAAGUGGCACAGGUAGUCUCUCGAGAUUAGGAGGUCUAGGCCGUGCAGCAAGGCGCCAAUUUGCUGCUGCUCUUGAUGAGUUCUGGGGACAAAUGUUUGAUUUACAUGGACAAGCCACAAAAGAAGCAAAGGCUAAGAAACUGGAUCUGUUACUGGGGUUAGAUCUCAAGUUAGAUGCAAAGUCUUCAUCAGCAUCUGUCAAGUCGGACAGCAGUAGGGCUGAUUUUACUGGAUGUUUUCCAUCUUUGAGUGGACAGGGAUCUGAUUCUUUGAUCAGUUCAAGUUUAUAUAACUCUCCAAGACAGCAGAUGGGGCAAAGUCUGAUUGAGCCUUCCUUUGGGGUUCAGAGGGGUUCCUCUCCCUUGUUGUCAUCGCCUGUGCAACUUUUAGGUGCAUAUGUGCGGAACUCCAGUCGCAACACUCAUGACUCUGGUGAAAGGCGAUAUUCUAGCAUGCAUAUUCCUGCAUCCUCAGAUGGCUAUGACCAACAGCCGGUUACUGUUCAUGGGCAUGAGCUUGCCUCUUAUCUCAAUUGGAUAGCAAAGGAAACAGGUUCCGGGAUAUUGAAUGGUCAAAUGGAGUCACCAGCACCAAUAUCCACGUCCUCUAUGUCGUCAUCUUUCAGAGAGUCAUUUGCUCGUCCUGUAGGAAAGAGACCCCAGAAUGGGAUGAGUAUCUCAAGGCCGCCUGGUUUUCACAACGUCUCUGUUUCUAGGAAUAAUUUUUUGCAGUCAGAGAGAUCAAUGUACGACGUUACUUCCCCAAAACCUACUGAAAACCCAAAUAGUUCAAUCAAUUUGAAGAAAUUUUACAGCUUGCCCGAUAUAUCUGGUUUUCGAGUACCCUAUCAAGAGUCUACAUUAUCAGAUAAGAGUGGUAAAUGGGAUAAUUCAAUGGUAAAUGCGCAGUCAGUUGGGUCAACCUAUGAUAGAACCUCUUUGACUGUUUCGUCACGGACAGAAGCUCCUCCAGGAUUUCAUGGACGUUCUCCCUCAAAAGUUUGUAGAGAGCCUUUUUCUUUACAAUUCAGCUCAAGAUCAAGCACUGGGUCUCUUUGGUCUAGACAGCCUUAUGAACAGUUUGGUGUGGCUGAUAGAACUCAUGCUGAAGGUGAACAGGUGAAAGGUUCAUAUGCUCAAGAGUCUGCCUCUGCAAUUGAUUUUGAAGCAAGGCUUCUUCAGUCCUUCAGACAUAGUGUCGUGAAACUUCUGAAACUGGAAGGAUCUGAUUGGUUGUUUAGACAGAAUGGUGGGGCUGAUGAGGAUCUUAUUGACCGUGUAGCUGCAAGGGAAAAAUUCCUGUAUGAAGCUGAGACCGUGCCGAUGAAUUGGCCAAGUAAUGUUGGUGAAGCUCAAUUUUACUCUGAUAGGAAGUCUGGUUCUGCAGUUAAAAGUGAUGACACAGAUUAUACCAAGUUCUCAGUAACAUCAGUUCCACACUGUGGAGAGGAUUGUGUUUAUAAGGUAGAUCUGAUAAUUAGUUUUGGCGUAUGGUGCAUUCAUCGGAUAUUUGAGCUGUUGCUUAUGGAAAGCAGGCCAGAGCUUUGGGGAAAAUAUACUUACGUACUGAAUCGCCUCCAGGUAUGAAUUGUGUGUGUGUGUGUGAGAGAGAGAGAGAGAGAGAGAGCACAUUUUUCUCUGCUUCUAUGGAUCUCUGUCUUUUGCAGUUUACUUUGCAAAUGCUAUAAAUAGCUUGUUGAUAAAAACUAAUCUUGCUAUUUGCUUGAAGAACUUGUAGCAGUUACUAAAAUUUUUCUUGUCAUUCUCUCCGGCCCUUCCCUUGUACUAUUUUGCUGGAAACUCGUUGCUUGUCAUUUAUUUGGUGACCUGAUUUUCCCUAGAAGUUCUUUUUACUUGGUUGCAUCUAAUCAUCAGCUGAUAAAGUGAUUGUGAUGCAUUCUAUUUGCAACAGGGGAUUGUUGUUCUGGCAUUUUUUAGGCCUCGUACGCCAAUGACUCCCUGCUUUUGCCUUCAACUCCCAGCUGGAUGGCAGCAGAAAUCAAGUCCACCAAUUUCGAAUGGAAGCUUGCCCCCACCUGCAAAACAGAGCAGGGGGAAAUGCACGACUGCAGCAUCACUUUUGGACAUAAUAAAGGAUAUUGAAGUUGCCAUCUCUUGUCGGAAGGGACGAACAGGGACUGCAGCUGGUGAUGUUGCUUUCCCUAAAGGGAAAGAAAAUUUGGCAUCAGUUCUCAAACGGUACAAACGUCACUUAUCAAAUAAGCCAAUUGGAUCCCAGGAUGGUGGAUCUGGUUCACGCAAGGUGUCAUCAUCCUUAUAUUAUGGUUUAUAGCCCUUGUUUUCAGUUCAUGGCAACUUGGUGUAUGAUAUUUAGGUUGCUCAAUUCGAAAUGCCUCUAUCCUUAAACAUGAGUGGUCCUUGGUUGCUGUGAACUUUUUCUUGCGCUCCCUCCUCCCUCCAUGUGCAUUUGUAUCUUUGAUGAUGCUGCUUCGGUUUUUCUUGCAAGUCAAUGUAUACAUAGGAUAAAGUGUGUUAAAUGCGUUAUUGCAGCAAUGAAAGAAGGGUAGAGAAAAAGGUGAGAGAUAAUUGUUGCAAAUGCAGUUCCCACCCACCAGCACGAGGCACAGGAAAUGACAAAUCGGGAAAAAUGUAAAAAUAGAUUAGUCUUUUUUAGACUUGUAGCCUGAGCCUGCGUUGUUUUUCUUUUUUCUUUUUUUUUUUUUCCGGAGAGGCGGAUGUGUUAGUUUUAUAUAUAUUUUUUAACAAUUCAGAAGAUGUAAAUAUUUUGAACUCAGCAUCCUUUCCACAAAUCGAGCAGUAUUUAGGGAGACAGGCUUGUUGAAGCUCGAACAGCUCGAGAGUUCGAAUGUGUUUCAUUUCAACUCGCGUCAAGGUUGGUUGAAGGGUGCACUGUUCGUUCUCUCCAGCUUGGUUUGGGGUAUACACACCUGUGCUACACGUAGGGAAUGGUGGGUGGAUCAAGGAUUGGGCCGGGCAUGGGCUAAAAUGCUUCAGUAUUUAAGGCAAGCACUGGCCCAACUUGUAAUCGUCCAAGGAUUGAGUCGGGCCAGGAUUGUGCUAAAAUGCUUCACAAUGAUAGUUGUGUAACUUAAUUUGUUAGAAUGAAUUACAGUUGGCAAUAGGAUUAUGAAUUAGGACAUCAAAAAUGGGUUGGAGGGCUUUGGAGUCCAAACACAAGUCCUUCAUCUCCUGGUGGCCAACUGGGGGACUGGCCUACAGAAAACAAAAGUUUUGAUGAAUUAGACAGCGGCACUUCUUUGUGGAAUAACAUGACAAAGUGAUGUCAGAAGAGGAGGCAUUUCUAGGGGUUAGUUUUCUUGAAAAGCUUGGGUUACCUAUUAUUCUUAAGCCAAAAACAAAAACUACUCCACUAGGGAACUCAAAACACAUUUAUUAUUGCAACCGCGACAUCAAGUUGCCCGUUCUCCUCCCACCGUCGCGAGAGGCAAACUUGGAUUUAUGCGUUUCGUCAUCUGCCACGGCCAUGACCUGCCAACGUUUUCUUUCAACAAAAACAAUUGCAGCCGUCAAAAUAAUUUGCAACUACCGACAACACUGCCUGCUAGUAGUUCUUAUUCUUAUAUAGUAGUACUAUUUUGCUUUUUAUGAAAUCACUCCUUUUUAGCUUCUUGUACAUAUUCUUAUAUUUUGCUUUUUAUGAAAUCAUUUUCCUUACAAAUUAGCCAUCCAUCUCAUCUACGUGUUGCCCGAUUUAGGGCCCUGGACAUAUUGACCCUUGCGCUAACGAAUUUCUCACCUUAUCAUUUUUAUCUUUCCCGCGGGCGCUGAAUUCUGAGUAGAAGGGAGGUCGUCAAUCUUUUUGAGGUGUCUGGCUGUGUUGGCGCAGCCACAGAGAGAGAGAGAGAUAGAGAGAGAGAAGGUACGUACGUUCUUGAAUUUCAGCUGGGUAUCUAUCUAGUAUUAUUCUAUUUGUCCUUGUACUGCUCUCCCUUUCGGUCUUUUCCUUUUGUGCUUUUGAGUUUUAGUUCAAUAGUUACGGUCUUUUUGGUGUGCUUGAACUUUAAUUGGGGAAGCGUAUGGGGAAUUAGCGUAAUUGCGCACUUUGGAGGGCUAAAUCGCCUUCGUUUGGUGACUUUAACCGAUGCAGGACAGGACAAAAAAAGAAUAGUUGUAGCACAAUUUCAGCUAGGAGGAAUCCGGAGCAAAAGAUGGGUUACGUGAUAGUGAUCUCUUUGCCUCUGAUUCUGCUGUUCUUGAUAGCUGCCAUCGCCUGCUAUCUACUUGGUAGGGCAAGCGGCCGAGGAGAGGCUGCUGGUAGGCCUCCCCGGUAUUAUGGGCCUCCAGCGCCUCCAAUUGCAGCUCAAAUCCCACCUCCGGAGAAGUAAUAGUUUCAUUUCCUGGAUAUAGUGGUACUAAUCUUGUAUGUUCUCAUGUGUAUCAUUCUUCUGUAAUUAUUUUGUUCUUUUUUUGGGUUGGUGGUAAAUAUGUGUGUAUCUGCUUCAACAUCCAAUAUGUUGAGAGAGUUAAAAUUUACUAAUUAGUCAAUAAGCACGCCAUGGAUGGUUUCUAUAAAUUAAUGCCUGAAAAGUGCAUCUCAUGGACGACUGAAAAGGAAGUUCAAAAUGCAAUCCUCCUGGCAACAUAGGAGUUCUCAAGAAAACAGCAGAUGGCCAGAAUGAUUAUUGCAGGGGUUAACCACUACCAAACUUCCAUGUUAUGAGUGGUCUAAGAAGCAACAAACUUGGAAAGCAUCUAAUCUAAUCGAAGUGAUUUUAGUCCGUCUAUGUUUUGCCACCUUCUAUAGUUGUUAUUUUGGCUGUGAAAAGAUUAAACUAGAGGUGGCAAUUUGGAUUGAAAUCCAUUUAUCCAUCCAUAUAAACCAUAAUUAAAUGGAUUUGGAUUAUCCAUUUAUAAUAUUGGUUUUAAAUGGAUGAUCAAAGUAAAACCAUUAAAUUAAAUGGAUUUAUAUGGAUUAUCCACAAAAACCACAUAUAUCCAUUUACUUAAAAAUCAAAUAAAAGAAAUGGACAGCAAAUGACUAAAAAAGGAGCUAUCCUAAAAUUGAACGUUGAGGUGUGAAAAUGCUGUCCCCGUGCUCCCUCGUUUUCACCGGUUUCGUUCCCUCCUUCACGGCCACCGCCACCGCCAUCGCCUCCCAUUCCCCUCUGUUCUAAUCACUACUUAACUAAAUCCAUCCUCUCUGUCUGCAUCCUCCUAAAAUUUUACCCAACCCAGGAUCCCAGAUCGAGUGAGGAUGAAUUUUGCGGGCAAGUGAUCGGGGGUAAAUCUUCAUCCUUUUCUUGCUAAUAUCUUCGUCUUUGUUUUCCGUUUGCGCUUAAAUUGUUUGAUAAUUAGGAGGGAACGGGUUUGUCUCUGUUUCUGGUUCUAGGUUGUUGAGUUUCCAAUCAAUAUUUGUUAAAUCAAAGCUUUUGGGCUGGCUAAUUAACUUGAAUUAUUGGGGUUAUCGCAUUUCAUUUGCAUGUAGCUAGCUGCUGUGACGACUAGGAGUUGUAGGUCUUUUGGUUGUAAUGCUAAAACGAGUGAGAUUCGGUUGGCUUUGAAGCAAACCCAUUACUUUUUCCCAACGAUUCCUUGUGGAGGAUUAGAGUGCAAACCUGGCACCACAGAAUUUGUGGUUCAGAAAUCCCAACUAAGUUGGGAAGGGACUUGUCAAUUGGCACUACAAGAUAAAAUGGAUACUUCAACGAGAGAAUCCCUGGAGUCACUGAUACCUGGAAUGAGAUUCUGUACAAUAUUUUUCUCUAGAAUGAUUCAUGUUAUAGCAGACAACUAAUUCCCAGGUCCUUAUUCCUAGUUGAAUUCAUUACUGUGAUGAGGACAUUAGGAAAUUUAGGUAGAGUUGCUAUGUCUAACAUUAAUUAGAAGACAUGACAUAUGAUUGCAUGCAUCGAAAUCUGGCAAACUGAUCAAAAUUUAGUUUUUAGAGUAAGUAAUGCAUGAUAAAUUGCAAGCUUGGGAUUUCUGGACUUCUAAAUGCUUAAUGUUAUCUUAAUCCUUUCCUCUAACUAGUAUUUUUUUGCUGUCAUUUUGCACUUAAUGAGAUCUGAAUUUUUUUUCUAUUCUUUGGUGCAAUGAAUAUUAGGUACUUGUUCAAAUGGAAGGAGAAGAAGAGCACAAUGUUGAGCGAGUUUCAUCAACAGAUUCCAGCAAAAGAAGAUUUGGAUGUUCUUCAAUUUUGGAAAGAAAAUAGAAAUCGAUAUCCAGUGAUUUCAUUGAUGGCACAAGACAUUUUGAGUAUUCCUAUUACUACAGUGGCUUCAGAGUCCGCUUUCAGCGUUGGCGGUCGGAUUAUCAACAAAUAUCGUAGUACCAUCUUGCCAGAGAAUGUAGAAGCUUUAAUAUGCACUAAAGAUUGGUUAUAUGGUGAAAAAUGUAAGUAUUUUAUAUAUUCUUUAUUUUGUUAAAAAUUUCUUUUACUGCACAUAAUAUUUACGGUAGUUAAAUUAUUAUUUUUCUUUAUUUAGAAAUGACGUAUUUGCUGUUUUAUGAUAUUAAUAUAGUUUCACAAGAAAAUGCCGAGGAAGAAGCUGCAUUAAUUACAGAUUUUGCUCCAUUAGUUACAAAACUUCUUGGCUCCAAUAGGGAGGUUUACGAAGAGGAAAUCUAGUCAUGUGACUUAUUGGAUUGCUCAAAGGUAAUAUGGUUAUUUAUUUAUGAAGCAAUUAAGUAUUUUAUUAGAGUGCCUUCAUGGAUGAUUGGAUGGGAUUGUAGACUCCUAGCUGUUGCUUAUUUGGUAUGGUUUCUAGUUUUGCAGCUUCUUGAUGGGGCCCUUUGUUCGUGUCUUCUUUCACUCCUUAGGGACUAGUAUUCACUGCCCUUGCUGGACUAAAAGAGGAGCUGUGUUUUGGGAAGGUUAUGAUCUAUAGCACUACAAACUUCUCAGUGGCAGCAUCAUAUGCUUCCUAGGCCAUGUUGUGUGUAAUUUUUUAGCAUGCAUACUUUCUCUGCACUUUUGUUUAGACCAUAUCUCUACCAAGAAAUUUUAAUCAUAUUAGCAUUUCUUUAUAGCAUCCUCUAAUCACUUUUUCUGUUUGUUCUUAUUUCUUGCAAACUUUUGUGUUUAAAUCUAAUUUUUGUGAACUCUUUUUAAUGCCGAAGUUAAAGGAGUAUUUAGCUCAUAUGCACUACAGCUGAAAUCAAGUACUUGAGCUGUAAUGCAUUUCUGAAUUAUGACAAGUAGUUGGAAUUGCAUACAUAAAUUGUAAAGCAUUUAACUUCUGCAUUCAUAUGCUUCCUUUGCCCGCUGCAGGUACCAUGCCAUUACCAGUGCUUACUACAGAGGAGCUGUUGGUGCUUUACUCGUGUAUGAUGUCACUAGACGUUCUACCUUUGAGAAUGUUGAGAGGUAGUUUGAGGGAAUUGAGAGAUCAUACUGACCCUAAUGUUGUAGUUAUGCUCAUUGGAAACAAAUAUGAUCUUCGACAUCUUGUAGCAGUUUCAACUGAGGAUGGUAAAGCUUUAGCAGAGAGGAAGAGCCUCUUUUUUCAUGGAGACAUCUGCACUGGAAGCAACCAAAGUGGAAAAUGCAUUUGCUGAAGUCCUGACACAAAUAUACCGCAUUGUGAGUAGGAAGGCAGUCGAGGCCAUUGAUGAAGGUACUCCUUCAUCUGUUCCUCCUAAAGGAGAGACAAUCAAUAUCAAAGAUGAGGGAUCUUCUUGGAAGAGAUUGGAUGCUGUUCAAGCUAGAGCUUGCACGGAAAUCUUCAAGGACAAUGGCUCUUGCUGCAUAAGUCUUGUACAUUACAUCGUUCAACCAGCAAUAUUGUUCAUUUGAUUGUCCUCUUUGUCUUGGAUCAUAUAAGAUGACAGUUACAUGGAAAUACUUUAGUAUUUUCAUGAAAUUCUUACUUGGUAGGAUCAGGAAUGAGUAUAGUUACUUGGUAAUACAAAAAAAAAAAAAAAAGUAACCAAAAUAUAUAAAUGGAUUAUAAAUGGAUAAUUGGAUUUUAUAUAAUCCAUUUAGAUCCAUCCAUUUAGAUCCAUUUAUUAAAUGGAUUUAAAUGGAUUGGAUAAAUUUCAUCCACCAUCCAUUAAGUCAAAACCAAUUAUGAACCAUUUAUCCAUAUUGCCACCUCUAGUCUCUAGAUUAAACCAUCUUCCAUUUCCCGAUUCUGAUCCUUCGAAGUAUCUACUUGUUCCCGACCAAAUAUUUUGUUUGUGAUACAUACAUCGCCGAGUAAGAAUUGAUUACUAGGGGAAUUGAUAGUACAUGAAGCUGGUAAUUCCAAUUGAUUCAUUUACGUUUAGAAUGGAAGAUUGUUCAAGCUAACUACAUCUAAAUGCCUGGCUUUUGUGCAUCCAGACCAUUUUUUUUUUGGUCAAUCGUCGAAUUCUAGAUUACUUCUACUCCUACUCUACUUAUUUAUCUACGGGUCAAGUGCAGCUAGACGGAGCGAUUUUCACCUCUAGAUUAAAAAGGUGCACUACAGCACGCUUUGGGAUGAUUUUCACCUCCAAACCAAAAGGGUGCGCUGUAACACAUCACAUCUUUGAUUUUAUUACAGGUGCAGAGGUUUGAACCUGAUUUGCAGUCAAAUCUGCACCUUAUGCUUCAUCCUGUGGCUUUAGUAUGGGUUGCUCCGCCCGGCUUCUGCGCAUCUAGACUUUGAUCCACACAAUAACUAAGAAUGUCUCUGUCUGGUACAAAAGGUGCCAUUUAUGACCUGAAUUGACCCUUAAAAGAAGACGACCAGGAUGUCCUCAACAUCCUUUCUUGAACUACUGGAUCGGAGUGGUGGAUGGCAGUGGCAGUGUGGACGCUGGUGCAUCACAAUUUUAGCCGAGAGGACCAGGUAAACAAUUGCUUAGAGUUAGGGAUGGGGCCUCCAAAAGCAAAAGGUUGUUUGGAAAUUUUGAGAGCCAACAAGGCGACAGAGUCAUAAAUAAAGCAAUUCACAAUUUCUUUUGCUGAGAGAUGGAAGGAGAGGAGACUUCUUUUGUCUGUUUCCUACUACAGCUACUUCACAGGCACCCCCACCUUGGCCAUAUCUGAUGUCACCGAAGUCUCAUUCCACUGGAGUAUUUGACAACAAUACCAUGUUAGUUGCCCGUCUCGGCAACUUUCACUCUUUUCCCUACGAUACUUACUACUGAGUACUACAACUUUGCUCGUGAAUUUCGUUUUACAUACCAACUCUUCUUUUUUCGUUUCACAUGUGAAUCGGUCAUGAGCUAAGUACAUUGCAACCCCAUCACACCAACGAAGCACCUUCUCUCUUUUUAUUUUAAAUAAAUAAAGUGAUUAAUAUAUAAAUAAUCUACACUAAUAGAUUCCUCUCACCUAAUUGACUCGGAUGAAUAAGUUGUGUUCCACUUUAGGCCUAAUGAAAACUUAAACAAAUGGUACAACCAACUAAUUCUAAUUUAGUUGAUCACCACAUGUCUUUGUGAGUAAAAGGUCAAGAUUUCAAAUAUUAUUCUUCAUCAAAAGUUACCACUUAACGUAACUUUUCUUAAAUUUAUAUGGAUAUUUCUUGCGCUCGUAUGGUCCAAUGAUGAUUUAGUUUCAGUCGAUUUUUCGUGAUCUUACCCUUCUAGUAUAUGUUAGAGUAUGAGUAAGUGUAAACGCGAUAAUGGAUUAAAAAAAAAAAAGAAAACUUAAAUUAAUUUAAUACUAGCACUACUAAGUUAAAUCCAAGGAAAUGGUUGUUGCGCGCUUGCUGCAGUUCCGAUACAGAGCACGGGUAAAUGUCACCCUCUCCUUUUCUUAAAGGUAUCAAAGCGCAGAUUCGGGGGUUGAGGAAGCACUACUAGUAUAAUUUAUCUACUGACUGAAGAUUUUGAUACAGGGGGCCGGCCGGAGGAGGGGAUUGGAAUAGAAGUUACUCACACAUACUACUAUUAUUAUUGCUCUAUGUUUGUCUUGUCAGAGAGAUUACUGUUUCCUAGAUCUUCUUAAUGAGGCAAAUAAUGACAGUGAUCAGCAAUUUACUGUGCAAAAAUUAAAUUAUGGAUCCUUUUGUGUUUACGACCAGCUAGUACGUGAACGUGAUGAUGAUGAGCACUUAGAAAUGAAUGGGCCGGGAGAUUAACCACCACCACCGUCACUAAUCACUAUGCAGCUCGUUCGUUCUGUGAAAGGGAUAGGUAUUUAUUUGGUAGAGUUUGCCACUUUAAGAGAGAGAGAGGGAUGAUGAUGAUGAUGAUGAUGAUGAUGAUGAUGAUGAUGAUGAUGAUAAGAAUUGAAGCCAGCUCUUCCGCAGGAUUUAUUGAAAGCAAGAAAAUGAUACAGCCGGUGAAGUCUACAUGCAAUGAUCAACAUCAUCCACCAACUCUCUCUUUAUCUCCAUCUCUGUAACUCCGUCGUUAGCUAAUGAAAUAGAUGGAGAUAACACAUUUUAAAAUACAUCUCAAAUACACUUAACAAACAUAUAUAGAAAUUAACUAAAAAAAAGAAAAGAAAAAGAAAACCCACCCCCCUUUUUUUUCUUUUACUUGCUAAUUCAUUACCAAAAAUCAUAUUAGGAUGAAUAAAAAAUUAAAGAAAUUUUGUGUAGGAAUUGUCAAAUGGUGCCUGUUAUGUUGAUUUUAGGUGAUGAGACAGAUAAUUUGAGAAGUUCUCUUGCUGCUGCGAUGUGAAUCCCAGAAUCCUAUGCUGUCAAAGCGUCAACUGUCAACUAACCUUUGUAUGUUUGUUCCUUAGUAACGUCUUCCAACCUUACUCAAAAAAAAAAAAAAAAAAAAAACAGAAACAUGGAGGGAAAUUUCAAAAACAGCCACCGUAUUAAGUACGUUACGUCCUUUAUAGCCUAUUGGUGAUUCCUAGAGCUGGCAAUUAUACCCAAAACCCAACAACCCACCCAACCCACCCACUAAUUUAAGAGGUUGGGUUGGGUAAGUUGGGUAUUGGGUAAAUUUUGGGUUGGGUAAUAAAAACCCAUAUAUAUUUUGGGCGGUUUGGGUAUUUGUGUUGGGCACCCAUUACCCAACUUUUCCCUCUUUGUAUGUUUUUUGUGCAAGUAUAACCCAUCCUGUUGACACAUGGAAAAAGACAUUCUUGUGUACAAAAGUGUUACCACCACCCCCCCCCCCAAAAAAACCCGGGGCAAAAAAAAAAAGUGUUAAUUUUUUGAGUAAGUUCCCUGUAUUUUGGUUGGACUUUUUGAUGGUUUAGUAAAGGGGUUAGCAAUUAUCAUUUAAACGUAAUUUGACCUCUGCUAUUGUAGAGCAAGAAUCAUCAGCCUAUGACUAGUUGACCGAGAGUCGUCCCUAUGGCAAAUAUAUAUCAAUAAACAUUUCUGAGACAAGUGUUGUAAAAAUUCGUUUAUGGAGCGAUUAAAUAUUGAAGUAAUAGCCAAAUUUUUGUUAAUCCUUUCACUAAAGAUUUUUAUGCUAAAUGUUGAAAUUAUAAAGAUAUGGUUUAUUGAAAGCUAAUUAUUUGACAAGAGAUUCUUUGUUAUAAUUUUUUCCGUUACACUCGUUACAUUAUUUAGUUGAUUGACAUGUGUCCCAUGCAAUAAUAAAUAAGAAUUUGAGUUUUAAAAUAUCUCUUAGUUUGGACCAAGGCUAUACCCAGUUUGAAAAUCCUUACUUGUAUAAAAAAUAGAGAGUUCAUCCAAGUAGUUUAAAUAGUUAGUAUGUGUGUGUAUUUGUGAAAGUAUAUUAGUGUGUAUUGUAAUGUGUUUGUAUGUGUAAAAAUAACAUAUUUCAAAAUAGAUUAAGAAGUGAGUAUAUUUUUGUGUCUAUGAGUGUUUUAGUGUGUAAAAUUAUGUGUAUCUAUGUGAAAAUGUGUUUAUGUGUGUGAAUUUUUAUUUUUUUUUGUAUGUAAAAAUGUAUUUGAGAGAGUUUAUGUAUCAAAAUCUAUUAAUUAAUAUAUUGGGUCAUAUUUGGGUCAUGGGUUUGAGAUGACCCAAUAUGACCCAACCCAAAAUUAACCCACUCUAAAGUUGGGCGGGUUGGAUGUAACCCAUUUAAAUGAAAACCCAACAUUAACCUGCCCAAAAUCCGCCCAACCCGCCCAAUUGCCAGGUAUAGUGAUUCCUAACUUUAAGGAACUCGUUUGGUAUACUAUUACUAACGAUGAUUAUACACGUCAUCCUCUUUGACCGCGGAGCAGAGAUUGAGUCUGAACUCGUUCCCCGCAGCAUCUCACCAACUACCACUGGAUUAUCUAAUUGAAUUUCCUGAAAUGAUUGAACCGCAACUACAAUACCAUUGAAAAGAAAUAAUUUUUUUUAUCUGCGCAAUAUCUAAAAUCAAUUUUAGGAACAUGACUUCAGACAGUAUCUAAUUAGAUUUUCUGGCCUAAUUUUCCAAACAGACCCAAAUAACUUACUAUCUAAUUAGAUUUUCUGGCCUAAUUUUCCGUCUUUAUCAUUCCUAAUAAUUGGUCGUAAUUUCCUAAAGACGUGUGGAAAAAUGUUUUUUUUUUUUAAAAAAAACUAUCCACAAAUUAGAGCAGCCACCCGAGUCCAAGGUGCCUGACACUUGAACCAAGGGCACUCGCGAUCGUACGGUCUUUUUUGAACUUCCGUUCAAUCAUGCACAUAAUUGCAACUGCAUUUGUGCGCAGCCCCACUCCCUGCUCCUAAGGACAUCUACAAUAAUGCUAUUACACCUUGUGAAGUGUAAUUCACAUGCCACGUCAGCAUUUCACUUUCUCCUUUUUUAUUACACUUUCACUCACAAUGGAUUACACUCCACAAGGUGUAAUAGCAUGGGUCCACAAUUAAAUCAAAUAUUUAUUUUAAUAAUGCAUAACUCAUAUCCCAUAAAUAAAUAAAGUAAUUUUUAAAAAUAAUUUUGUUAUUUUUAAAAAAUAAGGUACUAACUUUCACUAAUUUUUUUACAUUUUGAAUUUUUUUAUUUUCUAAAAAUGAUAUUAUUAAUUUUUAAGUUUGAAUAAUAUAUCUUUUUCUAUCUUUCAAAAAUAAUAUAUUGUUAAUUUUUCAAAAAUAAUUAUGCAGGAAAUUAAACAAAUAUUUGAUACCUCAAAUGCGAAGAUAUCAUAAUAAUCCAUACUUAAUUAAUAAUUCGGAAUGUAAUUAGUUGAACUCCAUAACAUAAUAUUACAUAAUUUAAAUCAAAUAAAAUACAAAUAAUAUUGAAGCUAAAAUUGGAUGUAACCGUUGGUGGCUAGAAUUAUUUUACAUUUAGUCUGGGUCCCACCUUCUAAUGGAUUACACGCAUCAUAUCCAUGAUGCGUGUAAUCUCCAUUGGAGUCGUGUCAUGGAGCGGUGUAAUGGGGGACCAUUACGCCUGCGUUGUGGAUGCCCUAAGUAAUACUGACUAGUCUAAAGACACGUUCUAUGCACGGCAAUCAAGAAUGUUACGAAAAAAUAAAUAAAUAAUUAUGAGAAUAUAUAAACAAUAUGGUUAAACCUAUAAAAUGUCAAGCAAUUUUUAGCUAUCCCUUCUUGCUUCUGCCUUUAUAAAUUCCAUCCCUUCGUUGCUGAAACAAAUUUAAAACAAAAAAUAAUUUUUAGCUACUGUCGUCUAAAGUACAAACAUGCAUUACAAAAAAAAGGUGGUAUAACACAUAAAACAUGUCAUAUUAAAUUAUAAUAGAUCUAAGACCAAAUCAUAUUUGCUAGAUGCCAAUUCAUUUCUCAACCAUCAUGUCCAACAUUCAAAAAUUUCAAAUGGCCCAAAAAGAAAUUCUAGAAAUGGCCCAAAAAUUUCAAAAACUUUUGGUAUUAAAAUUAAUGAUAAAUCAAAAAGAAAUGGCCAUUCCACUAUUCAAAAAUUUCACAAUUUCUAAAUAAACUAUUUCAACAUUUUCUUUUCUAUCUUAUAAAAUACUAUCCAUAAUAAAAUACUAUCAAAAGUAUCAUAUCAUAGUGAUAAAAUUAUUAUUAUAGCUGUUCAUAAAAUAGUAGGCAUGGACAUAAAAAAUUUAACACAUUUUUCUUAAAUUAUAUUAGAUAAUCUUAUAAUUAUAUAGAAAAAUAAAUUAAAAUCCAUUACACAAGGGUAUUUUUGGAUAUUCAUUUAAAAAUUUGAUCAAGUCAAUAUUAUUUUAAGAUUUUAUUAUUAAAACUAUCAAAUCAAAUAAGGUAAGUAAAAUUUUUCAAAUUUUAAGGGAGCUCAAUAAAAUUAUUAGAAACCUCGCCUCGCCUCCUCAGGAGGUUUCUGAAAUUUUCCCUAUUUUAUAACUGCAUGAAUUAAGUAUAUCAUGUGAAAGAGAAUAAAAUCAAAAGAUGGGUAGGUGUAAUGACUAUUUCAGGGAAACUGCCAGAAAGCUCAAGGAAGGUAUCUGAAAAUUGUCAAAUCUUUUCACCGGGCCACCAACCACAAAUCAGUGAAAAGCCCAUGUACCAUGCCAUUCCCACGUAUACCCCUACCAACCGUCCAAUUUAUGACCGAUCAAUGGUCCUGAUUCAUAUUCAACCAAGCCUGCUUAGCAACGACUGCCACCGUCCCCCGCCCUUACUCUUUCUCUCCCUUGUGCUCUCAAGUCUCACCUACCAAUUCCUGCAUCUAUAUAUUUCGGAGACCUUUCGCAACUAUAGCCCAGGAACUUCCUGCCCACCAGCAUUAGCAGUUGUUCCUCUCGCAAUACAAAGUAGUAGUAUAGCAUUACUAGUUAGUAGUCACCACUGCUACUGCUUCAGUUCCUUUUAUCACUUGCUUUACAUGAAUUAAGUCGAUACUCUUCCUUGAAUACCUAGCGAUUAGUUUCGUGGUGACCUAUCUAGCACGUCUAGCCAUUUUUCUGUUUCGGUGGCAUCAAUCCUGAGCAGAGAAAGCUGCAAGAUGGAAAAUGGUCAUGACGAAGGCGUGAAAGUCUCGGAGUUUUGCUUGAAAUCAGAUCCUCUGAACUGGGGAGUGGCAGCUGAGUCACUGAUGGGAAGUCAUUUGGACGAAGUGAAGCGCAUGGUAGCUGAGUUUAGGAAGCCGGUGGUAAAGCUCGGCGGUGAGAGCUUGACCGUUGCUCAGGUGGCCGCGAUUGCCGCCAAAGGUGAUCAGGGUGUGAAGGUGGAGCUGGCGGAGGACGCAAGGGCUGGGGUGAAGGCAAGCAGCGACUGGGUGAUGGAGAGUAUGAACAAAGGCACUGAUAGUUACGGAGUUACCACUGGGUUUGGUGCCACUUCACACAGGCGGACCAAUCAAGGCGGUGCCCUUCAGAAGGAGCUUAUUAGGUAAAUUAGCUUUAGCUUCAUCCUUAAAUUUUGCCUCUGCAUUUUUACCACUUUCAAGUUCUUUUUUGUUUUUUGCGUUAAUGGUGGCCACAAUUUUACUGUGCUGGGAUCGGGCUCAUGCAUUUAACCUGGAUGAUAAACUACCUGUUUGAAUUUGUUUCUGAAAAACUCCACUAUUUCCCCCAAAAAAAAAAAAAAAAAAAAAGAAGACUAUCAACCACCUUUAUAUUUCAUUUGCACUCUUUCCUUUCUAAUAAAGUUGUCACAAUAUUUUUUUUCUAAAAAUACUCCAGAACAAACAAUCCGAACUGAGAUAGUCAAAGCAAGGUUUAAACUAGAAUUUUACGAAUGAUUUUUUUUUUUUUAAAUAAAGGAUUUUUUGUGUUCCGAAAUCAAUAUAAUUAAAGCAGAGCAAGGGAGAAAACAAUUCUCCUGCAUGCGUAUUUUCGCCUGCUCCAAUUCAUUUGACCUUGUUUGGUAAUAAAACUAUGGGGAUCACAGAACUCUUACACGCAGAUAUUUCUGAAAAGCAAAAUUCGUUGCCUCUUCUAGUACAAUUAAGGGACGUUAGGUUCAUCUCUAUCAAAAUGAUGCCAACUUACAACCAGUGCAUGCGUGCACUCAAAACGAAGAACAUAUACUAAAGAUGAGCACCCAUAUCACUAUGAGGAAUUGUCAUUAUCUAAUCUUGAUAUUUUGAUUUUUGGCUCCACCGACAUUUCUGUCUUUGGAAAAAGAAAAAAAAAAGAUAAAGAAAAAGUGGAGAAGUGGAAGAUUAUGUAUGUAUUAGGAGGCAUAUUGGAAGCCCCAAAAAAAAAAAUUCAAAAGCAAAAUUGAUGAAAUUAACAAAGGCUACUACAAUAUUUUACCUUUUCACUUGUCCCUAUUUUAUCUAUUUACUAUAGUCUAUGGUUGCCCGUUCAUCCAUCGGAAACAAAUGGAAUACUUUUGUCAAAACGAACGAAUCUGUAGAGUCGGGUGCAGGGGAAUAGAAAGGAGAAUGAUCCUGACAUAUGCAUGGAUUAUUGUGUAAAUUGACAGAUUUCUGAACGCGGGAAUCUUCGGAAACGGCACGGAAACUUGCCACAUGCUGCCACACUCAGCAACAAGGGCAGCGAUGCUUGUAAGAAUCAACACCCUUCUUCAAGGUUAUUCCGGGAUCAGAUUCGAAAUCUUGGAAGCCAUCACCACUUUCCUUAACCACAACAUCACCCCAUGCUUGCCUCUUCGCGGUACAAUCACUGCCUCUGGUGAUCUUGUCCCCUUGUCCUACAUUGCCGGUUUACUAACCGGCCGCCCCAACUCCAAGGCCGUUGGGCCCAACGGAGAAGCUUUCAAUGCCGAAGAAGCAUUUCGCCUUGCUGGCCUCAGCGGUGGCUUUUUCCUGCUGCAGCCUAAAGAAGGCCUUGCUCUUGUUAACGGAACAGCAGUUGGUUCUGGCUUGGCCUCUAUUGUUCUAUUUGAGGCUAACGUGCUUGCUGUCUUAUCUGUAGUGCUGUCAGCAAUCUUUGCUGAAGUGAUGAAUGGCAAGCCUGAGUUCACCGAUCAUUUGACGCAUAAGUUGAAGCAUCAUCCGGGCCAAAUUGAGGCCGCGGCUAUCAUGGAGCAUAUCUUGGAUGGAAGCUCUUACGUCAAGGCUGCUCAAAAGUUGCAUGAGUUGGAUCCCCUGCAAAAGCCAAAGCAGGACCGAUACGCUCUCAGGACGUCUCCGCAGUGGCUGGGUCCACAAAUCGAAGUUAUUCGUGCAGCAACAAAAAUGAUUGAGAGGGAGAUCAAUUCAGUUAAUGAUAACCCUCUCAUUGAUGUGUCCAGGAACAAGGCCUUACAUGGUGGCAACUUCCAGGGUACCCCUAUUGGAGUGAGCAUGGACAACGCUCGACUGGCCAUUGCAUCUAUUGGCAAACUGAUGUUUGCUCAAUUUUCCGAGCUUGUUAAUGAUUACUACAACAAUGGGUUGCCGUCCAAUCUCUCUGGAGGAAGGAAUCCAAGUUUGGACUAUGGAUUCAAGGGAGCUGAGAUUGCUAUGGCUGCAUACUGUUCUGAACUCCAGUAUUUGGGCAAUCCAGUGACCAACCAUGUCCAGAGUGCCGAGCAACACAACCAAGACGUCAACUCCUUGGGAUUAAUCUCUUCAAGAAAAACGGCAGAAGCCAUUGAUAUCUUGAAGCUUAUGUCAUCCACUUAUUUGGUGGCACUUUGUCAAGCAAUCGAUUUGAGGUUUUUGGAAGAAAACUUGAAAAAUGCUGUUAAGAAUAUUGUCAGCCAAGUGGCAAAGCGAACUCUGACAAUGGGUGCUAAUGGAGAACUGCAUCCUUCACGGUUUUGUGAGAAGGAUUUGCUCAGAGUGGUGGACCGCGAAUACGCCUUUGCCUAUGUGGAUGACCCUUGCAGCGCUACCUAUCCAUUAAUGCAAAAGUUAAGGCAAGUGCUCGUGGAUCAUGCGUUGAAGAAUGGUGAUCAGGAGAAGAACGUCAACACCUCCAUCUUCCAAAAGAUUGCUGCAUUUGAAGAUGAACUGAAGGCUGUCCUACCAAAAGAAGUGGAGAGUGCCAGAAGCGCUGUGGAGAGUGGAAAUCCAGCAAUCCCUAAUCGGAUAAGGGAGUGCAGAUCUUACCCAUUGUACAAGUUCGUUCGAGAAGUGUUGGGGACAGGACUGCUGACUGGAGAGAAAGCUCAGUCACCUGGUGAGGUGUUCGACCAGGUGUUCACAGCAAUGAGCAAGGGGCAGAUUGUAGAUCCUUUGUUGGAAUGUCUCCAAGAAUGGAAUGGUGCUCCUCUCCCAAUCUGUUGAUUUACUUUCAUCCAUUCAAACAUUUGUUUAUCAAAUCCUUCAAUGUAAUUUAUAUGUAUUUUAAAUUCAAUGAUAUGUCAGUAACACCCAUGUAUUGCUCAAGGUUUCUUAAAAUGUGAACAAAAAUUUCAACAUCGUCCCUGUUCUCCAUUUAAUGAGUUGAUUGAUUUUCGGCUAGCUGAUUGCCAAUGAAGGCAAUCCUACAUUACAUCCAUUUUCUGAGAGAGCUGUGAACGAAGGUGGCCAGACUACUAAUUUAGUAGUUUUAGAACCAUGCUUAAUACAGUUAAAACUAUAUUAAGGAUGGUUAGUAGCUAAGAAAUUGCAAAAUCAGGCAUGCAAUUACAGUACCUUUUUCAGACUGAUUACGAGACUGGCUGCUAUUACUUGAGGAUGUAAAAUAGCUUGCAGCUUUCUUGUUGAAGCGUUUGAAGAUGCAAAAUUGAAAGCUUAGACCCAUACCCUCCUCAUCUUGGUUCAAAGGCGUGAUCACGUGGAAACUAUUUUGAUCCCAACUUUAUUAGCUUUCCGGUACAUAAUACUGAAAGCCUAAAAACCACCGGAGGAGGAACCACUGAACUGUCAUUUGGUCUCUGGAAAGGCACCGAAACGAGAGGCUUUAAACGCGGCGUUUUUUAUACUCCCUCCGUCCCACUUUGAUAGUCCUAUUUUCCUUUUUCGUCUGUCCCAAAUUAUAGUCCACUUUCCAAUUGAAAAAUGUAGUUAUAUUUUAAUUUUCCUAAAAUACCUUUAUUCAAUGUAAGUUAUUGUUACUAUAAACUUACCACGUUUAAUGCAUUUAGAUUUUCCAAACUUAUUUAUAUCAGGAGGGAAACAAACUAUGUCAUCAUUAGCUACAAACCAUGAGUGAACAUUUUCAAAACUAUCCAUAUUUCCACAAUUUUUCUAACGAAAUUCCAACAAAAGAAUAUGAUUUCAAAUUCUCAUAAAGUUGUACUCUAAUUAAUGUGAAAGUAUUUUAGAAAAAUAGCUACCUAAAUUGAUUGUUGCAACAAAGUUAACUACUUUUUCUUAAAUUGAGUGAAAAAAAAAAUCAAGACUAUCAAAGUGGGACGGAGGGAGUAUUAUUUAUGGCUCCAAUCUCUGGAAAUUGUAAACCAACUACUGACCAAAAAAUAAAGGAUUCUGUACAAAUUGUUAACCAAAAGUUGACCUCAAAAAAAAAAUUCUAGUAUCAAUUGUUAUAAAACUAGUUAUAAAACUCGGUCAAUUGUUAUUUGUUCGCUUAGAAUUUUUUUUUUAGAAGAAAAAGAGUUUUCAUUGCUUUAAGUCGACUACAGCAGCGUACAGGACUUCCUUCGGAAAAUUUGCAAACGAAAUAUAACUCCCCUCAAUGGAUAAAGAUUAACUUAAGACAUGAGAUGAGCAGGGACGUUAUUAUUGCUCUUUAUAUGGGACACCUUUACAUACUCAAAUUCCAAAAUGAAUGGAAGACACCAAAAUUCUUAGCAAACUGUAAACGCUUUUAGGAAGGUUAAAGCAUUCCACCUACCCAGGAUUGAGAGCUCGGGGAAUCUCCUCAACCAUUGUUGCCUGAGCCUCUACUUGUUCCCAUUGGUUCCUUACUACAAAACAUAUUCCAAUUACAGCUUCGAAAAAUGUACCAUACAUAUUGAUCUUGUCAAUGCUCUCCUCAUGCGCUAACCAUCUGUUAUGCCUUCAAUCUUCCUGACCUUCUCUCUGCCACGUAGAUUCCAAUACCACCUCUGCUUAUGCACUAAUUUGUGCUGCUGGUUCCUCGGCUUUUUCUUCAAAGGUCCUCUCAAUUCUGCAUUUCCAGAUAAGCCAUGUGAUUACUGCUGCUAAUUCUGCUAACUGCUCCCCCCUUUGAGUAGAGUAUGUAGGCAAACCACUCCUUGAAACUGGACACAGAUGAGAUGUUUGCAAUCUGCUUACCUUCUACACCCUUCCAUGCUCCCUGGCCAAAUUCGCAAUCAAAGAAAUGUGUUUUAUCAUUCAUUCACACCGAUUGCAUCUUGUCACUGCUCUUUGAAGAGGUGAAUUCUGUACCGCUGGAGUAAACCUUCUGAGUACUCUGGGUGGUCCACUGGGACGAGGUCACCUGCUCAAGUUACUAGAGGGGCUGAAUCCCCCGGUAGAACUCCGAAGCUUAAGUCAGUUCGGGAAUGAGAGAAUAUGUGAAUUGAAGAGAGUAUCAGUAUGUCUUUACCAGAUAAUUGGUCAUCAUCCCCCUUCUCAGUGGAUACCCAGGGGUAUUUAUAGGGGAUUUGUUAGGAAGAGGGACUGGCAUCACGGGUCCCUAAAGAUCUGAGACGGUCAGUGCAUCUGGUGGAUUGGACAGCUCUUUACGAAAAGGUUCGAUGGGACAUCCGCCAGUUUCAGGCGGCGUGUGUCAGAGUAGCUGUCCAUCAGAUGUCAAGCGUAUCAACUGUCAGUUCCCAUCUUUCGUAGGCGUCCAUCAAUCAGGUGUCACCUCGGCUAAUGACCUGAAGACUUAGGCCGAAGUGGUACACAGGCUUUGACGUCCUCGAUGAGCAAGGUGCCGAGGUGGGACCUCGGGAGGAAUCAGAGUACGAGGCUCGGGUUAUCCGAGCCGAAAUGACCAUCCUCACUAAGCCCCCCAAGCUUCGAGAAGGGCGAGGUCGUGGUUUCCCGAGGUUGUUCCUUCCCGAAGCUGACGAGCGUGUAAACACGCAACAGUAAGGGCACGUCAUCUAUAUGGAUGGGACUAAUAGAAAGGUGAAACGAUGGCUGUCAGUUUUGACGUCGGAUCCGUAAAAUCAGCCGUCAGAUGAACAGCAUCUUCAUUAAUGAGGAGAGAGAGUGGGCGCUCUAGGGAAUCCCAAAGGUGCCGUCUCUUCGGUUUCCCCCAAUUGCCUAUAAAUAGGGGCCCUUUUUACCGUUUCAUUUUUCAGCAAAAAUUGUAAAUCACCUCAGAGCUCUGUUCCUGCGCUUCUUCACUUCGGCAAUUUUCCAAACAGCUUCAAAGUAAGUCCACUUCAUUCUUCUUUGUAGUAAUGGCCAGAACGGGCCGCACACACAAGGAAACGGUGAGGCCUGACUUUACCGAGGCAGAGAGGCCUGACCCCACCGAGGAGAGAACUGCUGACGUCGGGGAUGGGGGUGCCGAGGCGUCUCACCAAGCCGGGGCAGUUCAAGGGCAGCAGGAUGCCGAGGCGGAGCAGCAAGAGGAAAUCGAGGUCGAACCCGAGAUCCUGUAUAAUGAUGACCUCGGUAAUGAGGUCCCUAAGGACGCAGGCGUACAAGAACCAUCCACCCUUCCAAACGUGUCGACGCUCAACUACGGACAGAUGCCUGCCUUCCGCAGUAUCAUGGGGCGAGACUCUGUCGCCGAGGUGGUCCGCAGGUAUCCCUGGAGGAAGGACUACAGCAUUUAUAUACCCGAGCCACACCAGUCUGCUGCACUGCCCCCGAAGGGUAGGGUGGCCAUCUAUGUAGAACAGCUGGAGGCCGGGCUCAGGGUGCCCACGACAAGAUUCCUCCGAGACUGCCUGAGGUACUGGGGAGUGAGAAUCACUCAGCUCACCCCAGAUGCCAUUCGCGUCCUCGUCGGCUUCCAGCUGCUUUGCCGACAUCAAGAGAUAGAGCCCACUGUCAAUCUCUUCCGCCGUUGCUACUCGCUCAAAAACAGCGGGAGUGAAAAGGGCUGGUUCUACUUCGGGAACAAAGUUCCCAAAUUAGUAGUGGACGCUCCGAGCUCAAUAAAGGAGUGAAAAAGAAAUUUCUUUUUCAUCCCGGCCGAGGACUUCCCCAGGGGGUUCUGGUGGAGGCCUCCCACCCCGGUUAAAGAGACGUCUCCAGGCAAAUUGGAAGAGCGCAACCUCCAAAAGUUGACGGGGUCGGGCCUCAGAAUUAACUGCUGGGAUUUUCCCGAAGUGGUACUCGUGAAAGGCGGCCUCAGCCGAGCCUUGAUCAGCUCGAAUCACCCCGUCCUCCUUUCGACUAGGCUGAAAAGACCUUGUACUUUUACAUUUCCCUUCUUUAUAUAUUCAUGUUGAGUUCUAACUAACUCUCUCACUUACUGCAGUGACAAAGAUUUCCGACCUGAUAACCUCGGGAGAUGUCGAGGUAGCAAAGAGGGCACCCAAGAAGCGCAAGGAUGCGGCUGAGCCCUCUACCAGGCCAAGUAAGAAGACCACCACGGCAACGCAGAAGUCCACCGCGGCAAUGAGCAGCCGCGAGCCUGCCGUGAUGAUUGUAGGUGAAGGCUCACACAUCUCGGCCACGCCUGGGAAGUCCAAGGCCUCUGCCAUCCCGGUAGGGAUUCCUAUCCGAGGUGUGACGAUAGCCAAUCCACCUCGAGGUCAAGGCGUGACCGUGAUCCCGGAGAAACCUGUCACGGGGUCAUCACUGUUCAACCUCCAUCACGUACCCUCGAAGGAGGCCGGGGAUGACAAGAGGCACCCCGGGGCGCACUGGUGCCCGGAGUGGGACAUCAAUGUCAACGACCGCUGCAAAAAUCCUUUGGUCGCACACGAGCUUCUGGUGCACUCCGUGCUGCCUAGGGAUAAUACCUAUGCGAGGAAGCUCACUCCUGCCGAGCUGAUGCAGAGCGCCUCGGUCUCCUGGGCCUCUACCUCGGCUUUCUUUGCCGAGAUGCUCCAGCGUUAUGGACAUUUCAUGCAGACUUACGAGCCACCCGCCGAGCUUCAGAAAAGGAUCACCGAUCUGGAAGAGAAGCUAAGGGCCACUGAGCUGGAGCGAGACAAGGCCGAGAAGGGAAGGAAGAAGGCCGAAGUCGCCAACAACUCCCUGAUCACUGCCCUUGAUGAAGAGAAAGGAAGAAGGGCCCAGGAAGAGCAGUCGAACAAAGAGGCUAUGGACAAAGCCGGAGUCACUGCUGUGGAGGCCUUCCGGAAGUCGGAGUCCUUCACUCGCGACCUCGGCGAACUCACACGCCCAUCCUUUAUGCUUGGCUACACUUCGGCUGUCAAUGAUGCAAUGCCCUUUAUCUCUUUUGAGCAGCUGGAGUCCCUUCAAAGCGCUUCUCACUACAAUGAAGAUGCCAAGGAGCUGUGCGACCGUAUGGCCGCAGGCAUCCAGGCCGGGAGAGACUUAGCCGAGAUUCGAGCUGAGUUCAACAAAUGGCUCCAGGAAUUUGAACUAGAUGGCGAGGGUAGUGAAGGGGGUCAGUCCGGCGACAGGGCUAGUGGGCACCAGGAUGCCGAGGCAGGUGGAGCCGAAGCGGGUGGAGCCGAAGCGGGUGGAGAAACCAUAGGGGAGCAAGGCUCCGGGGCAGGGAAUGCUUAGAAACAUCCCUUUUUUGUUUUUGUAGGCCGAGGUCAUAGAUGACCUCACAGGGAAUGCUUAGAAGCACCCCUUUUUUGUACUUGUAGGCGUGACCUCGGUCUUCUACUUUUUAUCUGCUUCAAUUCAAUAGACUUCCAUGUUUUUGCAAUCUUCAUACUUCAGUUCAGUUUUGUUUUCUUUACUGCUGCUUUGUCCCCUUAUUUUUCACUUAUAACGAAACAAGAAGAAGUGAAAAAUAACUCAAGACUUAAAAUUAAAAACACGUACCCCUCAAGGGUAAUACAGUUUAAGAUUUUCGGCAUGCCAAGUUCGGGGCACCCGAGACCCAUCUCGGUACGCUAAUUUACAGUAUCCAUUUUGGCUGGAUUCGACAACGCGAUAGGGUCCCUCCCACUUAGGAUUCAGUUUGCCCUGAGGUUCAGCUCGGCUGACCGAGUUCUUCCGGAGCACGAGGUCUCCUGGGGUGAACCGUAGGUGUUUGACCCGAGUAUUGUAGUAACCAGCUAGGAUAUUUUUGUAGAUAGCAACUUUGGCCGCGGCCAUAUCACGUUUCUCCUCGGCGAGGUCGAGGUCAACCCGCCGUUCCUCUCCGUUGACUUCGGCAGCAUACGCGGCCAUCCGUGGGCUCGGCGUUAUGAACUCGGCUGGGACCACAGCUUCUGACCCAUACGUCAAAGAGAACGGGGUCUCUUGGGUUGCCGACCUCGGGGUGGUCCUGUAAGACCACAGGACGCUGGGGAGUUCUUCUACCCAUGACGAUCCAGCUCGGUGUAAUCUGGUUUUGAGGCAGUGGAGGAGAGUGCGGUUAAAAUUUUCGGCCUGUCCAUUGGCCUGAGGGUGUCCUACGGAGGUAAAAUGUUGUUUGAUUCCCAGGUUUUGACACCAUAUCUUGAAAGGGUUGUCAGCAAACUGUCUUCCAUUAUCCGAGAUGACCACCCGGGGUAGGCCGAAGCGGCAAACGACGCUCUUCCAGAAGAAUUUUUGAACUGCUGAUCCAGUGAUGCUCCUUAAAGGCUCAGCCUCAACCCAUUUGGUGAAGUAGUCUACCGCCACCACCGCGUAUGCAAAAUUGCCUUGGGCCCUGGGAAAUGGUCCGAUUAUAUCAGUCCCCCACUGUUCGAAUGGGCAUGGCGAAGUGAUGGGGAUCAUAAGAUUGGUUGGCUGGUGAUGCUCUGGGGCAUGAUGCUGACAAGAAGGACAGCUAAGGACCAUGACCUGGGCAUCCACCCUCAUGGUAGGCCAGAAAUAUCCGAGCAGCAAAGCUUUUUUAACGAGCAUCCUGUAGCCGACGUGAGCACCACAAAGUCCUUCAUGAAUGUCUUGCAGGAUCUUCUCCCCUUCUUCCGGAGUGAUACAUCGCAGCCAUGGGCCGAGGUAUGACCUCUUGUACAGGAGAUCGUCCCGAAGAGCGUACCGAGCUGUUUUUCGUUGCAGUUUCCGGGACUCGGCUCGGUCUUCAGGAAGUUCACCCCGGCUGAGAAAUCGGAAUAGCGGUCCCAUCCAGGUGUCCCCUGGAUAAAUGGGACAUACAACUUCCCCCACAUAUCCUGGCUCGGCCAAGACCUUCACAAGAACUGUCUUGUUCAGGUCAGAGAAGGAGGUAGAAGCGAGCCGAGAGAGGGCAUCUGCCCUCCUGUUCUGUGACCGCGGUAUUCUUUGGAUUUCAAAGGAUUCGAAGUAUGCCACCAGCUGGAGGACUUUGGAGAGGUAGCGAUGCAUCACCUCUUUCCUAGUCUCGUAUUCGCCUAGUAUUUGGCACACAACGAGUUGGGAGUCACUAUAGGCCAAGAUGUGCGCGGCCCCUAGCUUACGAGCUAGUUGCAGGCCGGCAAUAACAGCUUCGUACUCAGCCUCAUUGUUGGAAGCGGCGAAGUCAAAUCUCAAAGCGUAUGAACAUAUUUCUCCUUGGGGGUCUUCGAGGAGCAAACCUGCUCCACUAUCCCCACUGUUAGACGAGCCAUCCACAUGUAGAAUCCAUCGCUGAGGCUCGGCAGUAGGAGAAGUGUUAGCCGAGGUACUGUCCUUCACCUCAUCAAAGGUGAACUCGGCUAGAAAGUCUGCGAGGGCCUGAGCCUUGAUUGUUGUACGAGACUCGUAAGACAAGUCAUACUCCCCCAGCUCAAUAGCCCACUUGGUGAGGCGUCCAGAGGCCUCUGGCUGUGAUAAGAUUUGCCGAAGUGGUUGGUCAGUUCUUAGGCAAAUGUGGUGGGCUAAAAAGUAGGGCUUAAGCCUACGAGCUGCAUGGAUUAAGGCCAGCACGAGCUUCUCCGCCCGGGUGUAUCUGGUCUCCGGACCUCGGAGGACUCGGCUGACAUAAUAGAUGGGCAUCUGUACACCUUCCUCCCUUAUCAACACGGCACACACAGCUUCGGCUGCAGCAGAUAAGUACAAGAACAACUUGUCCCCUGGACGAGGUGAGGUGAGUGUUGGGAGGUGGUGAAGGUAUUCUUUCAAUUGUUCAAAGGCCUGUUGACAUUCCUCGGUCCAAGAGAAACUGUCCGCCUUUUUUAGAACCUUGAAAAAUGGCAACGCCUUGGAAGCUGAUUGCGAUAGGAACCGAUUUAGGGCGGCCAACCGCCCUGUCAGUCUCUGGACAUCACGGAUGCACCGAGGUGAAGACAUUUCUUGAAUGGCUUUCACCUUGUCUGGGUUUGCUUCGAUACCCCGUCUCGAGACGAGGUAACCCAGAAAUUUUCACGAAGUGACACCGAAGACGCAUUUCUUGGGGUUCAGCAUCAUCCGCGUCUUCCUUAGGACCUCAAAGACUUCUCUCAGGUCAGAGAGGAAGGAAGAGGUCGUCUGGCUUUUGAGGAGAAUGUCGUCCACGUAGGCUUCGACAUUUCGCCCGAUCUGAGAUUUGAAGGCUUGGUUAACCAAGCGUUGGUACGUGGCCCCGGCAUUCUUUAGUCCAAAAGGCAUGGUGGUGUAGCAAUAGGUGCCUCGGUCAGUGUAAAAGGCAGUCUUCUCCUGGUCCUCUGGACUCAUGCCUAUCUGGUGGUACCCCUUAAAGGCGUCAAGAAAGCAGAGGACCUCGUAGCCCAUUGCUGAAUCCACCAAGGUGUCGACUUUGGGCAGUGGGUAGCAGUCCUUGGGACAAGCUUUAUUGAGGUCGGUGAAGUCGACGCACAUCCUCCAAGCCCCGGUGUCUUUCUUGACCAUGACCGGGUUGGAUAACCAUGUUGGGUAUUGGACUUCUCGGAUUAUUUUUGCAGGCAAGAGCUUGUCCACCUCUUCUCCGACAGCCCGGUUUCGCUCUGGGCCGAGGUGCCUCCUUUUUUGUUUGACAGGGCGUGCCUGUGGGUCAACAUUGAGCUCGUGUAUCAUGAGGUGAUGCGGAACUCCUUGGACCUCUUCUGCGGCCCAAGCAAAGACGUCCCGGUAUUCUCGGAGGAGGUUCACCAUUCCUUUCUUAACUGAGUUGGGCAAACAGGUGCCGACACGGAUCGUUUGGUCCGGAUUUAUGGGGUUCAGGGGAAUCUCCUCCACCUCAUCUCCGGCUUCCAGCCUUUGGAGCUUCACCGUUUGCUGAGGAUCGAUGCAAUCAAUCGAGAGAAUGUCUGACCUCUUUUCAGACCUCGCAUUGGAGGUGUAUGGGGAGGCUGCUUGUAGAGUGACGAGGUAACACUCCCGGGCUGCACAAACGUCGCUGCUGACCUCGGCAACCCCCGCGGGAGUAGGGAACUUAAAGCUCAGGUGAUAAGUGGAAUAUACCCCCUGCAGAGCAUUAAGCGUGGGCCGACCUAAGAGAAGGUUGUAUGGGGAGUUGGCCCUUACCACGGCGAAGUUGACCGGAAUGGUCCGGCAUCGGGGGUGGCACCCCACGGUUACCGUCAGGGUCACCAUUCCUUCGGGAUGCACAACAUGUCCCCCGAAUCCUAUAAGAGGAGUCCUUACCGGGGUCAUACUUUCCCUAGCCAGUUUGAGGUUAUCAAACGUGCGAAGGUACAUGACAUCCACUGAACUCCCUGGGUCAAUGUAGACCUUCUUCACGAUAUAGUUAUUGGUGAGCACUUCAAUCACCAAAGUUUCGUGACUGCUCGAAGCAGCUGGGACGGGGUCGCUAGACCCGUAAGUAAUCACUUCAGACAGGCGGGAGCUGGACUCGGCCUGAUCCGGGUUAGCUUGCCUGUAGGUCCUCUUUCGGGAGUUUUGACUGUCUCCUCCCGUCGGACCUCCGGCAAGGGUAUUGAUGACCCCGGCUAUAUUGGGUCCGUACCCUAAUCCUUGUCCUGAGGAUCCGUCUCGGGGAGGUCUUUUUGUCUCCCUAGGAUCCUCUGGAGGCCUGCAACUGCUCCUGGAGGGCCGCACUUCGUCUCGGCGUUGAUCACCCUGGUUAUCCCGUCGGGGUUCGUUACGUUGCUGACCUCCAGCUCGGCGGAUGAACUGCUUCAAGUGCCCCUGUCUAAUGAGAUUCUCGAUCUCCUUCUUGAGAUCGUUGCAGUCCUCAGUUUCGUGCCCAAUAUCUCGGUGAUACAGAUAGUAGAGGUUCGAGUUCCUUUUAUCCCGGCUGCCGAACAUCUUGGGAGGUGCCUUUCCAAGAUUGUUUUGUUCCAUCACGGACAGCACCCGAGACCGACUAGUGUUCAAAGGAGUCAGCUCGGACUCAGGGAUAGGUGACCUCCCCUUGGAUAUCCUGUCGAACACACUACGACGAUCUCGGCCAGGGCCUUGGAAGCCACUUCCUGUCCCCACCUCAGUUCGGCCAAGCUCUUUUCCCUUUCGGGGGUCGGCUUUCGGGCGUGCUGCUUGAACCUCCUUUUUCAUGCGGUUGAGGUUUUCGGCUUGUAUGCCCUUCUCAACCUUUAACCACAGCUCGUGGAGGGUGCGGGGAUAUUUCUUGUGAAUCCCCGUGUUGAACACCCCGGAAACGAGCCCAUGGGUGAAAGCGGCAAUGGUAACCUGCUCAUUAGGAUCAGGUAUCUGCACGCUUUCUUCAUGAAACCUCUGAACAUACGACCGAAGUGACUCACCCGGGUUCUGCUGCAUGUUCAGCAGGUAAGCCGAGGUUCGGGUCGUAGGUCGGGAUGAAAUGAACCUAUGGAGAAAUCUUUCCACCAGUCCUCCCAGGGUUGAGAUGCUCCUAGGUUCUAAUCCCCAGAACCAUUUUCGAGCUGUCCCCUGGAGGAAUACUGGGAAGGCUCGGCAUACGACGGGGUCAGGGAUGCAAUAUAAGCGGAAGGCCGAGAUGAAGGCAUGGAUAUGAUCCUCGGGAUCAUCUCGACCGUCAUAAGACGGUAUCGAGGGAAGCUUGAAGUUUGGAGGAAACCUUUCUUCGUUAAUGUCGUCAGUGAAGGGCGGGGCCCUCAUAUAAUUCACCCCGGGUAUUCCCAGGGGUCGAGAUUCCUCCUCAGGUCGUCGCCCUAGGAGUUCUCGAGAAAAUGCCUUGGUCAUGGAAGCUACCUUAGAAGUGGCCUUAGAAAAUGCCCGCUUCAAAGCACUUCGGCUGAGGCGUCUCCCAUCAGAUUCCUCGUCGGAUGAACCUUCAGGGGAUCCCUCUGACUUCCUUUUGGAGGACUCAGCUUUCUGCUUGCCCUGCCUUUUUAGGUACCUCCCCAACUCCUUAAAGAUGUUGGGGUUCUCGGUUACAAACUCGGCCAUACGUGUUAUGGCCUCUUCGUUUGCUGGCUGGGUCCUUGGGGACUCCUGCCCUUCUGAAAUAUCUUCCUGUUGGGCUGCAUUGCUUUGCUCAGUACCAAUGGUGAGAGCUUUUCUGCUCUUAGAACGCGUAGGCUUCAUACUUUGGUAUCUUUACGUUUCCCACAGACGGCGCCAAUUGAAGAGGUGAAUUCUGUACCGCUGGAGUAAACCUUCUGAGUACUCUGGGUGGUCCACUGGGACGAGGUCACCUGCUCAAGUUACUAGAGGGGCUGAAUCCCCCGGUAGAACUCCAAAACUUAAGUCAGUUCGGAAAUGAGAGAAUAUGUGAAUUGAAGAGAGUAUCAGUAUGUCUUUACCAGAUAAUUGGUCAUCAUCCCCCUUCUUAGUGGAUACCCAGGGGUAUUUAUAGGGGAUUUGUUAGGAAGAGGGACUGGCAUCACGGGUCCCUAAAGAUCUGAGACGGUCAGUGCAUCUGGUGGAUUGGACGGCUCUUUACGAAAAGGUUCGAUGGGACAUCCGCCAGUUUCAGGCGGCGUGUGUCAGAGUAGCUGUCCAUCAGAUGUCAAGCGUAUCAAGUGUCAGUUCCCAUCUUUCGUAGGCGUCCAUCAAUCAGGUGUCACCUCGGCUAAUGUCCUGAAGACUUAGGCCGAAGUGGUACACAGGCUUUCACGUCCUCGAUGAGCAAGGUGCCGAGGUGGGACCUCGGGAGGAAUCAGAGUACGAGGCUCGGGUUAUCCGAGCCGAAAUGACCAUCCUCACUCUUCCCAAUCGAGCUUGAAGAUUUGUCCAGUAGGCAGUAUUCCAGAGGAUGCCCUCUGAAGAGAUGAAUUCUCGGUGAAUGAGCCGAGGUCACCAAGAGACGAGAUCACCUGCAAAAUUUCAAGUGACCAGGGGCUUUGUUCUCUGGUCUCACUCCGAUGCUAAAGUCAGAGAGAGUUCGGGAGUUGAAUAUACGAGUUAGAUUGCGCACCUCAUUUGGAAGUGAUAGAUGAGUAUUUAUAGUGGAUGCGCCUAUGGAUGGAAUGAUAAGGUCUACCCGCUGUCAACCAUCAUGAGGCGGUUUAGGGUGGCAGUGUCAGGUGUAAGUCUGAUUAUUAAGUUGGCUGAUAGUCACAUCACUCCAUUAGUCACAAAUCACUUCAAAUAACCAAAAUGUGAGUUGUCUUGGGCAAAUGAAUAGACGAGAUGAAACAUAUCUCCAAGGUGAUCUCAUAAAUCACCUCGUUGAAAAAUACUCCGAACGAGAUAUCCCCAGUGGAAAGAGAAUGAACGGGACUGAUCAAGCUCGAGUAGGCCGAGGUGUCUACACCCUCCAUACAAAAAUUCUUAUCUUUGAGGAAAUAUUUAAGCGCCAAUUUACCAUAACUCAUUCCAAAAGUUCUUCGCUUUACUAUUUGAAUAAGAUUCUUCUCCUCCCCCUUCCAGCUUUCCCACCCUCCUUGCCAAGUAAUCUACUGACCUCAAAAUUUCCACUCUAUGUAUAAAGCCACACCACCUCAUCUUUCGGCCAUGAUAGGAGAAUUUUUAACAGAUGAUCCAUUUCAUAGUUACGCGAAAGAGCCUUUCGAGAAUGCAAUUUCCAACAGGCAAAAGUAUGAGGUGGAAAUACUUAAAAUAUAGGAAUACAGAAAUAAAAUUAGAGUAAACUAGUAGGGCUAGAAUAGUUUUUCGUAGCUAAACAUUCCUACUUUUGUAAUGGAACCAACUUCAUCCGUGUAUUCUUGAAAGGACCUAAAUUAUCAUCAAAAGAUUCUUUAGAACUCUUCCAUGCACUAAAUUAAUGUUCAAAUCUUGUCCAUCACAUCACAAUGAAAUAUAAUAUAGUGCACUUAUUUGAUUUGAUGAUUCAAACCUCAAGUCCAUACAACCCUCUUUGGUUUCUGUAAGUUAGUAUAGUAGUACAUUUGUUUUGUUUUGUUUGGUGUUUCACUCAAAAUCCUCAUGCAAGCCUCUUUUCCCACAACAGAUCUUCUGUCCCACACUCUGUGCCAUUCUCUGUCCCACUUUUUAUUAUAUUGCUAUUUCUCCUUCAUAAACAUCAUGUUUUAGUUCUUUUUUGUUUAUUUAUGAUUCAAUAACUAUUAAUUCAGUAAAAAAUAAAUACAACAGUUUCAAAAAAGUAAUAUAUAAUAUAAAAUUAAAAAAUACAGCAAAAAAUGCAUAAAAAAUCUCAUUUUUUAUGCAUUUUGAUUUUUUGAGUUUGUUAAAUUUUGUGUAUUACUGAAUUAAUAGUUAUUGGAUCUUAAGAAAAUAAAAAAGAACUAAAACAUGAUAUUUAUAAAGGAGAAAUAGCAAUAUAAUAAAAAGUGGGACAAAAAAUGACACAGAAUGUGGGACAGAAGAUCCGUUGCGCUCUUGUCCACAUAUUAUUGAUUAGUAUAUGAGUAUUAUAGACUGUUGCUAUUACCACAAAAAAAAAACUUCAUAGGAUUAUUUGGCAACGUUUGGUUGACUCACAUAAACCAGUUGGCUCAGUCCAAUGGCACAUUCAAUUCCACCAUUUUCGUCUUUUCCUUUUUCUUUUACAAAAUUCCACGUAAAAAAAAAAAUUUAAGAGACGAUCAGAAAAGGAAAGAGAGGACCAGCACCGGAAAUUGGCAAAGAAGUAUGGCUUCCCAGAUCGUUGGACGGCUCCUUCGAAGCACCACCCGCCAUAACCCUAUCAUCCCUAAAUCUAGCAGCUUCUUCCAUCGCAAUAUCUCCGUCGACUCUACCUCUGAGUCCAAUCUCAUUCGUGCCACUCUUUUCCCCGACGAUGGCAUCGACCCCGAAAUUGCCGAGUCCUUGAAAGAGGUAGUAGUCUUCCUUCCUCACUUCAAUCUGUCUCUCUGCGUUUAUUCCCCUGUAUAAUUAUAUCUUCUUAUUUGUGCCCGUCUUCGCGCUAUGUUAAAGUUACCCUGCAAGUGUGGACGCUGGUGCAUCACAAUUUUAGCGAAGAGGACCAGGUAAACAGUUGCUUAGGGACAGGGCCUCCAAAAGCAAAAGGUUGUUUGGAAAUUUUGAGAGCCAACAAGGCGACAGAGUCAUAAAUAAAGCAAUUCACAAUUUCUUUUGCUGAGAUGGAAGGAGAGGAGACUUCUUUUGUCUGUUUCAUACUAUAGCUACUUCACUGGAUAGCCAUAUCUGAUGUCACUACCGUCUCAUUCCACGCUACCGUUUACUAUGGAGUACUUGACAACAAUACAUGCUAGGUUGUAUUUGGAUUGCAUUUUUCUAGACUUUUUGUAGAAAAAUUAUUGUAACGAUUUGAUGUAUGUGAGGUAAAAAAAUGAUAGAAAAAUAUGUUCACAAAAAAUAUAACAAUUUUUUAACGAAAAAUAGCUGUCCAAACACAAUUGCCCGUUUCGGCAACUUUCAUUCUUUCCCCUAUAAUACUUACUACUGAGUACUAUUUUGCUCGUGAAUUUCAUUUUACAUACCAACUCUUCUUUUUUCGUUUCACAUGUGAUUCGGUCAUGAGCAAAGUGGAGUACAUUUCAACUCCAUCCCACCAACAAAGCAGCUUUUCUCUUUUUAUUUUAAAUAAAUAAAGUGAUUAAUAUAUAAAUAAUCUCCUAAUAAAUUCCUCUCAUCUAAUUGACUCGGAUGAAUAAGUUGUGUUCUACUUUAAGCCAAAUGAAAACUUAAACAAAUAUAAUCAACUAACUCUAACGUAGUUGACCACCACAUGUCUUUGUGGGUAAGAGGUCAAGAUUUCAAACAUUAUCCUUCAUCAAAAGUUAUUACUUAAUGUGGAUUCUUUUAGAUUCAUAUAGGUGUUUCUUGCAUCCGCGUGGUCCAAUGAUGAUUUAGUUUCAAUCGAUUCUCCGUGAUUCUAUUGGAUUACCCUCCUAGAAUACACUAGAGUAUGAGUAAGUGUAGAUGACGAUAAUGGAUAAAAAAAAGAAAAUUUAAACAAAUAUUAGCACUACUAAGUUAAUCCAAGGAACACUUGCUGCAAUUCCGAUAAAGAGCACCGGUAAAUGUCACCCUCGCUUUUUCUUAAAAGUAUCAAAGCGCAAAUUCGGUGGCUGAGGGAGCACUACUGUCUACUGGCUGAAGAUUUUGAUACAGGGGGCCGGCCGGAGGAUGGGGUUGGAAUAGAAGUUACUAACACAUACUAUUAUUGCUCUAUGUUUGUCUUAUCAGAGAGAUUACUGUUUUCUAGAUCUUCUUAAUAAGGUAAAUAAUGACAAUGAUCUCCUACAAAAAAAAAGGCAGUGAUCAGCAAUUUACUGUGCAAAAAUUAAAUUAUGGAGGUUCCUUUUGUGUUUACGACCAGCUAGUACGUGAACGUGAUGAUGAUGUGCACUUAGAAAUGAAUAGGCUGGGAGAUUAACCACCACCACCGUCACUAAUCACUAUGCAUCUCGUUCGUUCUGUGAAAGGGAUAGGUAUUUAUUUGGUAGAGUUUGCCACUUUAAGAGAGAGAGAAUGGGGAGAUGAUGAUGAUGAUAAGAACUGAAGCCAGCUUUUCCGUAGGAUUGAUUGAAAGCAAGAAAAUGAUACAGCCAGUGAAGUCUACAUGCAAUGAUCAACAUCAUCCAUCAACGGAAAUGGGGCAGGAACCUUAAGGUUCUCGGCCAUGAUGUGGCCUCAGAAUUUUGUGCGGCUCAUAUUACAGCAUGUAACUGGAUUUUCACUCUCUUUUUAUCUGUCUUUUUAUCUACAGCAUGUGGCCUCCAUCAACUCUCUUUUUAUCUCCAUCUGUGUAACUCCGUCGUCAACUAAUGAAAUAGAUGGGGAGAAAUUCUACAUUUGUUCAUUUGUUUACUAGUUCUUUGAACAUCUCAAUAAUGGAUGAAUUAAGUAAUACAAGCAUUAAGGAAAUUUUGAAUUAGGAUUUGUCAAAGUAUCAAAUGGUGCCUAUUAUGUUGAUUUUAGGUGACGAGACAGAUAAUUUUAGAAGUUCUCUUGCUGUGAUGUGAAUCCCAGAAUUUUUUUUGUCUCAAAGAUAACAUUUGUAUAAUCUAACCUAACCUAAUUUAAGGAGAAGUUCUCUUGUUGUAAUGUAAAUUCCAGAAAUUUUUUUUUUAUCGCAACGAUAACAUUUGUAUAAUUUACUCUAAGGGAGGGGGAAUCGACGGAAUUUUCUAUCGAAGAAAGCUACAGUUAAGGGACAGCCACAAUUAAGUGGCAAGCUGGGAGACAACUGUGUGAAUCUCAUAAUCCUAUGUGUCAAAGCGUCAACUGUCAACUAACCUUUGUAUGUUUAUCCCUUAAUGACGUCUUCCAACCUUACUCAAAAAAGAGAGAGAGAGAGAGAGAGACUACCAGAAGUCUCUUCCUUUAAAAUUACUAGGAGAAAAAUAAACAUGGAGCGAAAUUUCAAAAAUAGCCACCGUAUUAAGUACGCUACGUCCUUUAUACCCUAUUGGUGAUUCCUAACUUUAAGGAACUCGUAUGGUAUAUAUUACUAAUGAUGAUUAUGCAAGUCAUCGUCUUUGACCGCAGAGCAGAGAUUGAGUCUGAACUCGUUCCCUGCAGCAUCUCACCAACUACCAAUGGAUUAUCUAAUUGAAUUUCCUGAAAUGAUUGAACGGCAACUACAAUACCAUGGAAAAGAAAUAAUUUUUUUUUAUCUGCGUAUUAUUUGAAAUCAAAUUUAGGAACAUGAGUUCAGACUGUAUCUAAUUAGAUUUUCUGGACUAAUUUUUCGUCUUUAUCAUUCCUAUUAAUUGGUUGUACUUUCCCAAAGACAUGUGGAAAAACAUUUUUUUUAAACUAUCCACAAAUUAGAGCAGCCACCCGAGUUCAAGGGAUUUCAAAUCCUCUGUCCUCAAAGUAAUCUCUUUUCCCUCUGUCUCUUAUUUGUACAGCUGCCAUGUGUCUCUAGAGGUUGAAAUAAUGAACAAUAUAGCCCUCUCUUUUUUUAUUUUCUUUUCAAAAAGUAUACACUAACUUUUGUCCCAGCUGAAGAUUAAUGCAUUAUGUAAAUGUUUUCCUAGAAAUAUGAGAAACGUUUCAAGUGUCGUAUUUAUGAUGAAUAUUGCGGAUUGCUUAUUAUUGAAUUCCAUGCAUAUUCCCUUUCCAAAUUUAUACACUUGUAAAACUGCAGCCUCACUCUCGGUUAUACAUUUUUCAAUUUUGUGUAAAUGAUGCUAUAGCAUAUAUUAGAUGGUGAAAGAUCUCGCAAUUCACGAAGAAGCUGGUAUAAAAGUCAAAGGAAUAAUGGCCAAAUUUGUAAACUGAUUAUUAUUGAUUUAUUUGAGUUUAGAUUAACAAAAAAUAAGAGACACGUGAUAACUGUAUAAAUAAGGGACAGAGGAGACAGAGGAUUUGAAGCCAGUUCAAGGUGCCUAACACUUAAACCAAGUGCACUCGCGAUUGUACGGUGUUUUUUGAACUUCCAUUCAAUCACGCAUGUAAUUGCAACUGCAUUUGUGCGCAGCCCCACUCCCCGCUCCUAAUUAGUACUGACUAGUCUAAAGACCCGUUCUAUGCACGGCAAUAAAGAAUGUUAUGAAAAUAAAUAAAUAGUUAUGAGAAUAUAUAAUACAUAAAAAUUUUAAUAAACAAUAGUUCAGCCUAUGAAAUGUUAAGCAAUUUUUAGCUACCUCUUCUUGCUUCUACCUGUACAAAUCCCAUCCCUUCGUCGCUGAAAAAAAUUUAAAACAAAAAACAAGUUUUAGCUACUAUCGUCUACACAGUACAAACAUGCAUUACAAAAAAAAUGAUAUAACACGUAAACCACGUCAUAUUAAUUGUAAUAGAUCUAAGACCAAAUUAUAUUUGCUAAAUGCCAAUUCAUUUCUCAGCCAUCAUGUCCAACAUUCAAAAAUUUCAAAUGGCCCAAAAAUUUCAAAAAUUUUUGGUAUUGAAAUUAAUAAUAAAUCAAAAAGAAAUGGCCCAGAAACACAACUAAAUUAUGAUAAUUUUACUACUCGAAAAAAUUCAUAAAUUCUAAAUAAAUUAUUUCAACAUUUUCUUUUCUAUCUUAUAAAUCUAAAUCUAUAAUAAAUUACUAUCAAAAGUAUCAUAUUAUAAUGAUAAAAUUAUUUUAUAACCAUUCAUCAAAUAGUAGGUAUGAACAUGAAAAAUUUGGCACCUUUACCUUAAAAUUAUACUAGAUAAUCUUAUAAUUAUAUAGAAAAAUAAAUUAAAACCCAUUACACAAGGGCAUUUUUGGAUAUUCAUUUAAAAAUUUGAUCAAAUCAAUAUUAUUUUAAAACUUUGUUAUUAAAACUAUCAAAUCAAGGAAGGUAAAAGUAAUUUUUCAAAUCUUAGAAGAGUUGAGUGAAAUUGUCAGGAACUUUGCCUCGCCUCCUCAGGGGAGGUUUCUGAAAUUUUCCCUAUUUUCUAACUACAUGACUUAAGUGCUUUCCGGGGAAUUUGGGGGUUAUUACACUCUUAGUAGCAGGGUUCUCUCCAGUGUAGUUUAUCCCACAUCGGGGUUGGGGGUUGGGUUAGUUGGGUAGAUAAGUCCCUAGAGACUCUCCAGAGUUGCCGGCUUUUGAGGGUUCUUCUGGGAUUAGGUUUAUCAAAUUCAACAAAAGUCAAUUUACUGGCGUUGAAAAAAAAGACUUAAGUGAUAUGUGAAGGAGAAUAAAAUCAAAUGAUGGGUUGGUGUAAUGACUAAAAUUUCAAGGAAACUACCAAUCAAAUGAUGGGUUGGUGUAAUGACUAAAAAUUUCAGGGAAACUUUUCAGGGAAACUAUCCAGGAAAGUAUCUGAAAAUUGUCAAAUCUUUUCACCGGGCCACCAAUCACAAUCAGUGAAAAGCCCAUGUACCAUGCCAUUCCCACGUAUACCCAACCAACCGUCCAAUUUAUGAUCGAUCAAUGGUCCUGAUUCAUAUUCUUUUUUUUUUUUUUUUUUUUUUUUUGUCGACGGAGUGGGGUGUCCGGGUCAAGUCCGUAAAGGCGGCCCGACUAAUCCCCACUCCGGCCCGGUCCAGCGCCCCAACCAGACCUAGCACGUUAAAUGCACGGCGAACUGAUGUUGCUGCGGAGGUUCGACCCCAGGACCUAACGGUCCCGAGGAGGAGGCGCCAACCACCAGCUCAUUCACGUGGGGGCCGUCCUGAUUCAUAUUCAACCAAGCCUGCUUAGCAACGACUGCCACCAUCCCCCGCCCUCACUCUUUCUCCCCCUUGUGCUCUCAAUUCUCACCUACCAAUUCUUGCAUCUAUACAUUUCGGAGGCCUUUUGCAACUACAGCCCUGGAACUUCCUGCCCACCGGCAUUAGCAGUUGUUCCUCUCGUAACACAAAGUAGUAGUAUACGAAGAGGUCGUUUUUGUCCUGCUGGAGUGGAUCACCCGAGCUGGAGAAGACCUCUGAUCCUAGGUGGUUGACUCAGACGAGGUCACCUGCUCAAAUUGUAAGAGGGACUAAAGUCCCCGGUGUAACUCCGAAGCUUAAGUUAGUUCGGUAUUUUAAAGAGCAAUAUGCUGGAGAGCAAUAUGGCUAAUGUUACCAGAAAUUUGGCCGUCCCCCUCUCAGUAGAAGUCUUGAGUAUUUAUAGAGGAUGGACAGGGGAGAGGGACUGCUUGCACAGGUCCCUAGAGAUCUGGCAGAGUCAGCGUAUCAAAGUGACUCAAUGGACUCUGCAGAAAGGUGCGCCGGGACAGCUGUGUCAGUCGGCGCGUGUCAGAGCAGCUUUGCCAGAAAUGUCAGAGGUAUCAGAGGUGUCAGAGGUCAUGUUUCACAACUCCGGUUGUCUGGUCACCAUAAUUGACUUCGGCUAAGUAAAGGAAAACCUUAGCCGAGGCUGUAAUUAAGCCGAAGUCCUAACGCGAUGGCGAACGGCCGAGGUGGUCAGAGCCUAAGAGACAUAGGGCGGGACCCCAGCUCUGCCGACCUGGAAAUACCCUCCUCACUAAGCCCCCCAAGCCUCGGGAAGGGCGAGGUCGCGGUACCCCGAAGUGGCUACUUCCCGGGGCUGAUAAGGGUGUAAGACACGGAGUGUUGGGACACGUCAUUACCGUGCGGAUGAGACUGAAUGAGGGGUGAAAGGACGGCUGUCAGCUAUAAUGAUAACUCCGUGGAUGGACGUGAAAUCAACGGUCAGAUGAACAGUCCUCAUUAAAUGAGGAGAGAGGUUGCGUCCUUACGGAUCCCAAAGGUUUUGCCCUUUCAUCUCCUCCCUGUUAGCCUAUAAAUAGGGGUCCCUUUUUACCAAUUUACUCUUCACCAGAAAUCAAGAAUCACCACAGAGCUCUAUUUCUUCGUCUUUUCACUUCGGCACACUUUCAAACCACAUCCUGAGUAAGUUCACUUCUUCUUCUUCUUCAUUUCUCCCUCUAGCAAUGGCUAGAACUGCCCGUACUCAUAGAGAGACAGUGAGGCCCGACUUCGCCGAAGCAGAAAGGCCUGAACCCUCCGAAGAGAGAACGGUUUCUGAGGCCGGGGAAGGGGGGCCGAAGCGUCUCAUCAGGCCGGGACACCCCAGGGAGAAAGCGAGGGAACCGAGGUCGAGGGGGAGGUCCUCUACAACGACGACCUCGGCGACGAAGUUCCAAGGGACGAGGGAGUGCAAGAGCCUACUACUCCUCCGAACCUGGAAGCAAUUGACUACGGCAUUGUUCCUCAAUUCGGCAGCGUAAUGACUGAAGCAAUGAUCAUCGAGGUGGUUCGUCAGUAUCCCUGGAGGAGGGACUACAGUAUUUAUACUCCUCAGACGAACCAGUCAGCCGAGCUCCCUCCACGAGGUAGAGUGGCCAUAUAUAUCGAUCAGUUGGAGGCAGGGCUAAGGAUUCCAACCACAAGGUUCCUCCGGGACUGCCUGAGAUAUUGGGGGGUGAGAAUCACUCAGCUCGUCCCCAACGCAAUCCGGGUCCUGGUCGGCUUCCAGAUGUUGUGCCGACAUCAAGAAAUAACUCCCACAGUCAACCUCUUCCGUCGUUGCUACUCGCUCAAGAAUAGUGGGACUGAGAAGGGGUGGUACUACUUCGGGAACAAAGUCCCGAAGUUGGUGGUAGAUGCACCUUCCUCCAUCAAAGAAUGGAAGAGGAACUUCAUUUUUGUCCCGGCUGGUGACUUCCCCAGGGGGUUCUGGUGGAGGCCGCCUACUCCGGUCAAAGAGACCUCUCCGGGUAAACUGGAGGAGGAUAACUUCAGAAAGCUGACGGGGUCGGGCCUCUGGAUCAAUUGUUGGGAUUUUCCGGAGUCAGUUCUUGUCGACGGCGGCAUCAGCCGAGCUCUUAUCAGCCCGGAUCGUCCGCCAUUCUAUUCUAAUAGGCUUGAAAAGCAUUGUACUUCCUUACUCCUUACUUCGUCUAUUUUUUUCCUUGAUUCUAACUAACUCUCCCUCUAUGCUUCGCAGUGAAGAAGGUUUCCGAUCUGAUUACCGCGGGGCCUUCCGGGGUCAGCAAGAGGCCGUCCAAGCGUAAAGACCAGGCCGAACCAUCCACUCGGCCGAAGAAGAAGACCACCUCGGCCCACACCACUACGGUGACGGCAAGCCGGGGGUCUCCCGUGAUAAUCACCGGGGAAGGCUCCCGCACUUCAUCGAUUCCUGCCGGGGUGGGUCGUACUUCGGCUAUACCCGUUGGGGUGCCGAUCAGGGGGAUAACAAUUGCCACUCCACCUCGGGGCAGAGGGACAACGGCAUUUCCCGUGGUCCCCGUGACGGGGUCCUCUCUCUUUAAUCUUCACAACGUCCCCUCACAAGAGGCCGGGGAGGAUAAAAGGCACUCCGGCGCGCAAUGGUGUCCGGAGUGGGAGCUCAACGUGAAUGACCGCUGUAAGGACCCCUUGGUCGCUCAGGAGCUUCUGGUCCACUCAGUCCUGCCCCGAGAUAAUACCUACGCCCGGAAGCUUUCCCCAGGCGAACUGAUGCAGAGUGCUUCCGUCUCCUGGGCAUCCACCACUGCUUUCCUCGCCGAACUGACCCAACGCUAUACAAAGUUGGUCGAAAACUAUCAACCUUCUGCCGAGCUCGAGAAGAAGGUUGCCGAGCUUGAAGAAAAACUGAAGGCGACCGAGCAGGAGCGCGACAAGGCCGAAGCAACGUGAGAACAGGCCGAGGCUACCAAGAACUCUUUGAUGACUGCCCUUGCCGAAGAAAAAGAUAGAAGGGCUCAGGAAGAAGAGUCAACCAAAGCGGCCAUCGAAGAAGCGGGGACCUCGGCGCUGGAAGCCUUCCGGAAAUCAGAGGGUUUCCUCAAGGAUCUCGGCGAGCUCACCUUGCCGAGCUUCAUGUUCGGAUACACUUCGGCAGUUCACGAUACGGCUCCCUUUCUCACUCCGGAUCAGCUGGAGUCCCUUCAUGACAAGGAACAUUUCAACGAGGAUGCCAAGGAACUAUUCGAUCGUAUGGCCGAAGGCAUCCGGACUGGAAGGGAUCUGACCGAGGUAAAGGAGGAGUUCAACAAAUGGCUAUCUGAAUUUGAUCUGGACGGGGCCGAACUCCAAGGUGACGACAUCGGCAGUGAUGGCGGAGGUGAUGGCGGAAGUGAUGGCGGAGCUGAGGCCACCGGAGAUAACCAGGAAGCCGAAGCACGGGGCGCGUAGAUAAUAGGCUGAUUUUUGCAAUAGGUUAGCCGAGGUCAUAGAUAACCUUGGCCAUUCGCUUGUAACUCUGAGCCGAGGCCACAUGUGACCUCGGCUUUUUGCUUUUCGUAUCUCAAUAUAACUGGUUUUUUGACUUGCAUUUUGUCUUCUUUUUUGGCUACUGCUUUGUCCCCUUAUUUUUCACUUAAGACAGAAUGAGAAUAAGUGAGAAAUAAUUUAAAGAGGUGAGAUAUAAAAACACGUACCCCUCACGGGUAAUACAACUUAAGGUUCUCAGCAUACCAGGUUCGGGGCACCCGCGAACCAUCUCGGUAAGCUAGUUUACAAUAUCCAUUUUGGCUGGACUCAAUAACUCGGUAGGGUCCCUCCCACUUGGGGUUGAGUUUUCCCUGGGGCUCAGCUCGGCUGACAGAGUUUUUCCGGAGCACAAGGUCUCCCGGACUAAAUCUUAAGUGUUUGACCCGAGCAUUGUAAUAGCCAGCUAGGAUAUUUUUGUAUGUCGCAACUUUGGCCGCGGCCAUAUCACGCUUCUCUUCGGCGAGAUCGAGGUCAACACGCCGCUCCUCUUCAUUGACUUCGGCAGCAUACGCAGCCAUUCGCGGGCUAGGUGUGAUGAAUUCAGCUGGAACGACGGCCUCGGACCCAUAAGUUAGGGAAAACGGCGUUUCUUGGGUCGCUGACCUCGGCGUAGUCCGGUAGGACCACAGCACGCUGGGGAGUUCUUCCAUCCACGAUGAUCCAGCCCGGUGGAGCCUGGUCUUGAGGCCAUGGAGGAGAGUUCGGUUGAAGUUUUCGGCUUGUCCAUUCGCCUGAGGGUGCCCUACCGAGGUGAAGUGUUGCUUGAUCCCCAAGUUCUCGCACCAUGCCUUGAAAGGGUUAUCAGCAAACUGCUUUCCAUUAUCCGAGAUCACAACUCGAGGUAAUCCGAAGCGGCAGACCACGUUUUUCCAGAAAAAUUUUUGGACAGCCAAUCCAGUGAUGCUUCUCAGGGGUUCAGCCUCGACCCAUUUAGUGAAAUAAUCUACCGCCACCACCACGUAGGCAUAGUUGCCUGGGACCCUAGGGAAUGGACCGAUUAUGUCGGUCCCCCAUUGUUCGAAGGGCCAUGGCGAGGUGAUGGGGAUCAUAAGAUUAGUCGGUUGGUGGUGCUCAGGGGCAUGGUGUUGACAAGAAGGACAACAGAGCACCAUGACCUGGGCGUCCACCUUCAUGGUGGGCCAAAAGUACCCAAGAAGCAAAGCUUUCUUCACCAGCAUCCUGAAGCCGACGUGGGCACCACAGAGUCCCUCAUGAAUGUCCUCAAGGAUCCUCUCGCCUUCUUCCGGGGUGAUACAUCGUAGCCAUGGGCCGAGGUAGGACCUCUUGUACAAGAGGCCCUGCCGGAGGGUGUACCGAGCUGCUUUUCGUUGAAGCUUCCGUGAUUCAGCUCGGUCUUCGGGGAGCUCACCCCGACUGAGAUAUCGAGUCAAGGGCCCCAGCCAUGUGUCCCCAGGGUAAACGGGGUACACGACCUCAGCUAAAUAUCCCGGCUCGGCUAGAACUUCUACGAGAACCGUCUUGUUCAGAUCGGAGAAAGAGGUGGAAGCAAGCCGGGAGAGGGCGUCAGCCCUUCGGUUUUGUGACCGCGGUAUUCUUUGGAUUUCAAAAGACUCGAAGUAUGUGGCCAGCUGGAGUACCUUGGAGAGGUAACGCUGCAUCACCUCUUCCCUGGCCUCGUAUUCGCCUAGUAUUUGGCACACGACGAGUUGGGAGUCGCUAUAGACCAUGAUAUGCGCGGCCCCGACCUUACGAGCUAUUUGCAGACCGGCAAUGACGGCUUCGUAUUCGGCUUCGUUGUUGGAAGCGGCAAAAUCGAACCUCAAGGCGUACGAGCAAAUUUCCCCUUGGGGAUCUUCAAGGAGCAAACCGGCUCCGCUACCCUCGCUAUUGGAUGAGCCAUCCACAUGCAAGGUCCAUCGCUGGGGCUCGGAGGUGGACGGGGUGACAGCCUGGGUGGUAGCCGGGAUGGUCUCACUCACUUCUUCAAAGGUAAGCUCGGCCAGAAAAUCUGCGAGAACCUGGGCUUUAAUUGCUGUGCGGGGCUCAUAAGAUAAGUCGUACUCUCCCAGCUCGAUGGCCCACUUGGUGAGGCUUCCAGAGGCCUCCGGUCGCGACAGGAUCUGCCGAAGUGGUUGAUCUGUCCGUAGACAGACGUGAUGAGCCAAGAAGUACGGCUUAAGCCUACGAGCUGCGUGAAUUAAGGCCAGCACAAGUUUCUCCGCCUGAGUGUACCUGGUCUCAGGACCUCGGAGGACUCGGCUGACAUAAUAAACGGGCGUUUGGACACCCUCCUCCCUUAUCAGUACGGCACUCACAGCUUCAGCUGCAGCGGAUAAGUACAAAAAUAACUUGUCCCCUGGGCGAGGUGAGGUGAGUGUUGGGAGGUGGUGGAGGUAAUCCUUUAACUGUUCAAACGCCUGUUGGCACUCUUCCGUCCAGGAAAAUUUGUCAGCUUUCUUGAGGACUUUGAAGAAUGGCAGUGCCUUGGAGGCUGACUGCGAUAAGAACCGAUUCAAGGCGGCCAGACGCCCUGUCAGUCUCUGGACGUCUCGGACACACCGUGGUGAGGACAUUUCUUGGAUGGCCCUCACCUUGUCUGGAUUUGCUUCAAUACCCCGCCUGGAGACGAGGUAGCCUAGGAACUUUCCCGAAGUGACCCCGAGGACACAUUUCUUGGGGUUCAACAUCAUUCGGGUCUCCCGAAGGACUUCCAGGACUUCCUUCAGGUCGGCAAGAAAUGCUGAAGUUGUCUGGCUUUUGAGGAGGAUGUCAUCCACAUAGGCCUCGACAGUUCGGCCGAUCUGAGAUUUAAAAGCUUGGUUGACCAAGCGUUGAUACGUGGCCCCGGCGUUCUUUAGUCCGAAAGGCAUGGUGGUGUAACAGUAUGUGCCUUUGUCCGUAUAGAAGGCGGUCUUUUCUUGAUCCUCCGAACUCAUCCCGAUCUGGUGGUACCCUUUAAAGGCGUCAAAAAAGCAGAGGACUUCAUAUCCCAUUGCCGAGUCCACCAAGGUGUCGACCUUAGGCAAUGGGUAACAAUCCUUGGGGCAAGCCUUGUUGAGGUCGGUGAAGUCGACGCACAUUCUCCAGGCCCCGGUGUCCUUCUUCACCAUGACCGGGUUGGAUAACCAGGUCGGAUAUUGGACCUCCCGGAUGAUCUUUGCGGGGAGGAGCUUAUCCACUUCUUCGCCAACAGCUCGGCUGCGUUCAGGGCCGAGGUGCCUUCGUUUUUGUUUGACCGGGCGGACCUGGGGAUCGACAUUCAGCUCAUGUAUCAUGAGGUGAUGUGGAACUCCUUGAACCUCCUCCGCGGCCCAGGUGAAGACGUCCCGGUACCUUCUUAGGAGGUCUACCAUACCUCUUUUAACAGGAUCGGGCAGUCGGGUACCAACGCGAACUGUCUGAUCAGGCUUCGUGGGGUCCAGAGGGAGUUCUUCCACCUCAUCCCCAGUUUCCAGCCUUGGGAUCUUCUCAGCUCGCUGAGGAUCAAUGCUAUCUAUCGAAAGGAUAUUUGACCUCUUCUCAGGCCUUGCCCCGGAGGUUGAUGGGAAGGUUGCUUGUAGAGUGGCGAGGUAACAUUCUCGGGCAGCGCAGACGUCGCUGCUGACUUCGGCCACUCCCGCUGGAGUAAGAAACUUGAAGCUUAAGUGAUAGGUGGAGUACACUGCCCGCAAAGCAUUGAGUGUAGGCCGGCCGAGGAGUAAGUUGUACGGGGAGUCACCCCCGCUGACGCCCUACAGUUACUGUCAGAGCCACCAUCCCUUCGGGGUGCACAAUGUGUCCCCCGAACCCAACAAGAGGAGUCCUUACCGGGGUCAUGCACUCCCUGGCCAGUUUAAGGCUUUCAAAGGUGCGGAGGUACAUGACGUCCACUGAACUUCCCGGGUCAAUGUAAACCUUUUUCACGAUGUAGUUAUUGGUGAGAAUUUCAAUCACCAAGGCUUCAUGACUGCUGGAGGCGGCCGGGACGGGGUCACUAGGCCCGUAAGUGAUCACUUCGGAUAGGCGAGAAUUGGCCUCGGCCUGGUCCGGGUUGGCUUGUCUGUAGGUCCUCUUCCGGGAGUUCUGGCUAUCUCCUCCCGUCGGACCGCCGGCAAUGGUGUUAAUGACUCCGGCAAUAUUUGGCCCAUAUCCCAGUCUUUGACCUGAGGAUCCAUCUCCGGGUGGCCUUUUCGGCUCCCUAGGAUCCUCGGGAGGUCGGCAACUGCUUCUUGACGUCCGCCUCUCAUCACGGCGUUGGUCACCCCGCUUAUCGCGUCGAUUCUCAUCACGCGAAUGACCUCCACUUCGGCGAAUGAACUGCUUGAGGUGGCCUUGUCGGAUGAGGUUCUCAAUCUCCUUUUUGAGAUCGUUGCAUUCCUCUGUUUCAUGUCCGAUGUCCCGGUGAUACAGACAGUAGAGGUUCGAGUUCCUCUUGUCUUUGCUGCCCCACAUUUUGGGAGGGGCCUUUCCGAGGUUGUUUUGUUCCAUUAUAGACAGCACGCGGGAUCGGGAGGUGUUCAGGGGAGUCAGUUCGGACUCUGGGAUGGGCGACUUCCCCUUAGAGAUCCUGUCGAACACACUACGACGAUCUCGGCCGGGACUCUGGAAGCCGCUUCCAGUCCCAGCUUCACCUCGGCCAAGCUCCUUCCCUUUUCGGGGGUCGGCCCUUGGGCGAGCAGCUUGGACUUCUUUCUUCAUGCGAUUGAGGUCCUCGGCCUGUAUGCCCUUUUCGACCUUCAACCACAGUUCGUGGAGUGUGCGGGAAUACUUCUUGUGGAUCCCCGUGUUGAACACUCCAGAUACAAGCCCAUGAGUGAAUGCAGCAAUAGUGACUUGCUCAUUGGGGUUAGGUAUUUGUACGCUUUCCUCAUGGAACCUCUGGACGUACGACCGAAGUGACUCCCCCGGGUUUUGCUGCAUAUUCAGCAGAUAAGCCGAUGUCCUGGUCGUAGGUCGGGAGGAGAUGAAUCGAUGGAGGAAUCUUUCCACCAGUUCCCCCAGGGUGGAGAUGCUCCUAGGUUCCAAUCCCCAGAACCAUUUUCGAGCAGUGCCCUGGAGGAACACUGGAAAAGCUCGGCAUAUGACUGGGUCAGGGAUGCAAUAUAAACGGAAAGCCGAGAUGAAGGCGUGGAUGUGAUCCUCGGGAUCACCUCGGCCGUCAUAAGAUGGUAUAGAGGGAAGCUUGAAGUUUGGAGGAAGCCUUUCCUCGUUAAUGUCAUCAGUGAAGGGCGGGGCCCUCAUAUAAUUCACCCCGGGUAUUCCCAGGGGCCGAGGUUCCUCCUCGGGUCGUCGGCCUAGGAGUCCUCGGGAAAAUGCCUUGGUCAUGGAAGCUACCUUAGAAGUGGCCUUAGAAAGUGCCCGCUUUGAGGCACUUCGGCUUAGGCGCCUUCCAUCAGAUUCUUCGUCAGAUGAACCUUCGGGAGACCCAUCUGAUUUUCUUUUAGAGGUCUCAGCCUUCUGCUUGCCUUGCCUCUUUAAAUAUCUCCCCAACUCCUCAAAGAUGUUGGGAUUCUCGGUUACAAACUCGGCCAUACGCGUUAUGGCCUCUUCGUUUGCGGGCUGAGUCCUUGGGGGCUCCUGCCCUUCUGAAAUAUCUUCCGGUUGGGCUGCAUUGCUUUGCUCAGCACCAAUGGUGAGAGCCCUCCUGCUCUUAGAACGCGUAGGCUUCAUAUUUUGGUAUUCUCGCGCUUCCCACAGACGGCGCCAAUUGAAGAGGUCGUUUUUGUCCUGCUGGAGUGGAUCACCCGAGCUGGAGAAGACCUCUGAUCCUAGGUGGUUGACUCAGACGAGGUCACCUGCUCAAAUUGUAAGAGGGACUAAAGUCCCCGGUGUAACUCCGAAGCUUAAGUUAGUUCGGUAUUUUAAAGAGCAAUAUGCUGGAGAGCAAUAUGGCUAAUGUUACCAGAAAUUUGGCCGUCCCCCUCUCAGUAGAAGUCUUGAGUAUUUAUAGAGGAUGGACAGGGGAGAGGGACUGCUUGCACAGGUCCCUAGAGAUCUGGCAGAGUCAGCGUAUCAAAGUGACUCAAUGGACUCUGCAGAAAGGUGCGCCGGGACAGCUGUGUCAGUCGGCGCGUGUCAGAGCAGCUUUGCCAGAAAUGUCAGAGGUAUCAGAGGUGUCAGAGGUCAUGUUUCACAACUCCGGUUGUCUGGUCACCAUAAUUGACUUCGGCUAAGUAAAGGAAAACCUUAGCCGAGGCUGUAAUUAAGCCGAAGUCCUAACGCGAUGGCGAACGGCCGAGGUGGUCGGAGCCUAAGAGACAUAGGGCGGGACCCCAGCUCUGCCGACCUGGAAAUACCCUCCUCAUAUACCAUUACUAGUUAGUAGUCACCACUGCUACUGCUUCAGUUCCUUUUAUCACUUGCUUUACAUGAAUUAAGUCGAUGCUCUUCCUUGAAUAACUAGCGAUUAGUUUCGUGGUGACCUAUCUAGCCAUUUUUCUGUUUGGGUGGCAUCAAUCCUGAACACAGAAAGCUGCAAGAUGGAACAUGGUCAUGACGAAGGCGUGAAAGUCUCGGAGUUUUGCUUGAAACCAGAUCCUCUGAACUGGGGAGUGGCAGCUGAGUCACUGAUGGGAAGUCAUUUGGACGAAGUGAAGGGCAUGGUAGCUGAGUUUAGGAAGCCGGUGGUAAAGCUCGGCGGUGAGAGCUUGACCGUUGCUCAGGUGGCCGCGAUUGCCGCCAAAGGUGAUCAGGGUGUGAAGGUGGAGCUGGCGGAGGACGCAAGGGCUGGGGUGAAGGCAAGCAGCGACUGGGUGAUGGAGAGUAUGAACAAAGGCACUGAUAGUUACGGAGUUACCACUGGGUUUGGUGCCACUUCACACAGGCGGACCAAUCAAGGCGGUGCCCUUCAGAAGGAGCUUACUAGGUAAAUUUUGCCUCUGAAUUUUUACCAUAAAUUAGCUUUAGCUUCACCCUUAAAUUUUGCCUCUGAAGUUUUACCACUUUCAAGAUUGCUGCACUGGCUGUUUUUCUUCCUUAAGUUUAGUUCUUCGUGAUGAUAGUAUGGGUCGAUCCCAGCAUCGUCAUUCUUUUUUUUUUUUUUUUUUUUUUUUUGGCGUUAAUGGUGGCCACAAUUUUACUGUGCUGGGAUUGGGCUUUUGCAUUUAACCUGGAUGAUAAACUACCUGUUUGAAUUGUUACUGAAAAACUCCACUAUUUCCCCCUAAACAAAAAAAUAAAUAAAAAAGAAGACUCUCAACCACCUUUAUAUUUCAUUUGCACUAUUUCCUUUCUAAUAAAUGUUGUCACAAUAAUUUUUUUCUAAAAAUACUCCAAAACAAACAAUCCUAACUGAGAUAGCCAAAGCAAGGUUUAAACUAGAAUUUUGUGAAUGAUUUUUUUUUUUUAAAAAAAGGAUUUUUUCUGUUCCGAACUCAUUUCGACAGAUUUAUUUAUUCUCGUUAGAAGUUUUCAUCAUUAAAUAAGUUUGAAGUUAGAAAAAAGACGCUUAAUUAUCUUCUAAUAAUAUAACCGGAAAAAUUAAGAAAUUAUUAUUUUAGCCUUUCACAAACCAAUAAAUCAAGAUAAUUAAAGCAGAACAAGGGAAAAAACAAUUCUCCUGCAUGCGUAUUUUCGCCUGCUCCAAUUCAUUUGACCUUGUUGGUAAAAAAUUAUGCAGAUACUUCUGAAAAGCAAAAUUCGUUGCCAACCUACCGCCAGUGCAUGCGUGCACUCAAUAAGAAGAACAUAUACUACAGAUGAGCACCCAUAUCACUAUGAGGAAUUGUCAUUAUCUAAUCUUGAUAUUUUGAUUUUUGGCUCCACAGACAUUUCUGUCUUUGGAAGAAGAAAAAAAAAAGAUAAAGAAAAAGCGGAGAAGUGGAAGAUUAUGUAUGUAUUAGGAGGCAUAUUGGAAGCCCACAAAAAAAAAAAUUCAAAAGCAAAAUUGAUGAAAUUAACAAAGGCUACUACAAUAUUUUACCUUUUCACUUGUCCCUAUUUGUCUUAUUUACUACAGUCUAUGGUUGCCCGUUGAUCCAUCCGAAACAAAUGGAAAUUAAAAAACGAACGAAUCUGUAGAGUCGGGUGCAGGGGAAUAGAAAGGAGAAUGAUCCUGACAUGCAUGGAUUAUUGUGUAAAUUGACAGAUUUCUGAACGCGGGAAUCUUCGGAAACUGCACGGAAACUUGCCACACUCAGCAACAAGGGCAGCGAUGCUUGUAAGAAUCAACACCCUUCUUCAAGGUUAUUCCGGGAUCAGAUUCGAAAUCUUGGAAGCCAUCACCACUUUCCUUAACCACAACAUCACCCCAUGCUUGCCUCUUCGCGGUACAAUCACUGCCUCUGGUGAUCUUGUCCCCUUGUCCUACAUUGCCGGUUUACUAACCGGCCGCCCCAACUCCAAGGCCGUUGGACCCAACGGAGAAGCUCUAAACGCCGAAGAAGCAUUUCGCCUUGCUGGCCUCAGCGGUGGCUUUUUCGAGCUGCAGCCUAAAGAAGGCCUUGCUCUUGUUAACGGAACAGCAGUUGGUUCUGGCUUGGCCUCUAUUGUUCUAUUUGAAGCUAACGUGCUUGCUGUCUUAUCUGUAGUGCUGUCAGCAAUCUUUGCUGAAGUGAUGAAUGGCAAGCCCGAGUUCACCGAUCAUUUGACGCAUAAGUUGAAGCACCAUCCCGGCCAAAUUGAGGCCGCGGCUAUCAUGGAACAUAUCUUGGAUGGAAGCUCUUACGUCAAGGCUGCUCAAAAGUUGCAUGAGUUGGAUCCCCUGCAAAAGCCAAAGCUGGCCCGAUACGCUCUCAGGACAUCUCCGCAGUGGCUGGGUCCACAAAUCGAAGUUAUUCGCGCAGCAACAAAAAUGAUUGAGAGGGAGAUCAAUUCAGUUAAUGAUAACCCUCUCAUUGAUGUGUCCAGGAACAAGGCCUUACAUGGCGGCAACUUCCAGGGCACCCCCAUUGGAGUGAGCAUGGACAACGCUCGACUGGCCAUUGCAUCUAUCGGCAAACUGAUGUUUGCUCAAUUUUCCGAGCUUGUUAAUGAUUACUACAACAAUGGGUUGCCGUCCAAUCUCUCUGGAGGAAGGAAUCCAAGUUUGGACUAUGGAUUCAAGGGAGCUGAGAUUGCUAUGGCUGCAUACUGUUCUGAACUCCAGUAUUUGGGCAAUCCAGUGACCAACCAUGUCCAGAGUGCCGAGCAACACAACCAAGACGUCAACUCCUUGGGAUUAAUCUCUUCAAGAAAAACUGCAGAAGCCAUUGAUAUCUUGAAGCUCAUGUCAUCCACUUAUUUGGUGGCUCUUUGUCAAGCAAUCGAUUUGAGGUUUUUGGAAGAAAACUUGAAAAAUGCUGUUAAGAAUAUUGUCAGCCAAGUGGCAAAGCGAACUCUGACAAUUGGCGCUAAUGGAGAACUGCAUCCUUCACGGUUUUGUGACAAGGAUUUGCUCAGAGUGGUGGACCGCGAAUACGCCUUUGCCUAUGUGGACGACCCUUGCAGCGCUACCUAUCCAUUAAUGCAAAAGUUAAGGCAAGUGCUCGUGGAUCAUGCGUUGAAGAAUGGUGAUCAGGAGAAGAACGUCAACACCUCCAUCUUCCAAAAGAUUGCAGCAUUUGAAGAUGAACUGAAGGCUGUCCUACCAAAAGAAGUGGAGAGUGCCAGAAGCGCUGUGGAGAGUGGAAAUCCAGCAAUCCCUAAUCGGAUAAGGGAGUGCAGAUCUUACCCAUUGUACAAGUUCGUUCGAGAAGUGCUGGGGACAGGACUGCUGUCUGGAGAGAAAGCUCAGUCACCUGGUGAGGUGUUCGACCAGGUGUUCACAGCAAUGAGCAAGGGGCAGAUUGUAGAUCCUUUGUUGGAAUGUCUCCAAGAAUGGAAUGGUGCUCCUCUCCCAAUCUGUUGAUUUACUUUCAUCCAUUCAAACAUUUGUUUGUCAAAACCUUCAAUGUAAUUUAUCUGUAUGUCAAAUUCAAUGAUAUGUCUGUAACACCCAUGUAUUGCUCAAGGUUUCUUAAAAUGUGAACAAAAACUUCAACAUCG
This 84922-nucleotide long non-coding RNA is filed under the name Coffea arabica (coffee). RNAcentral describes it as "long non-coding RNA (CARA_LNC004450)". The record is from RNAcentral. Lineage: Eukaryota; Viridiplantae; Streptophyta; Magnoliopsida; Gentianales; Rubiaceae.